UCGCGACCCAAAGGAAGGCAGCCAUUUCCUAAGGCGUUUGAGACUCGAAGAGUCUGGUUUUGGUAGAAAAUUUGGUGGAUGAUGUAAGGGUUCUCGGAUAUGGUGAGAAUUGUAGUGUUAUGGAGGCAGGAAACGUUGAACCCAAGGUAGCCACAGAGAGGGUCUUGCAGGCCUUCAAUAUAAAAUGGGAAGCCUAUAUUUAAACCACCGCAGGUUCUGCUCAGGCUGCAGGUCUUGAAGUAUGGAUCCACGCAUAGUGAUUUUUCUAUGACUAAUAAUAAAGCAAAAAUGGUUGAAAUUAUAAAUGGAGGGGAGGAUGACUUGAAGAACAUGAACAGGCCGUGAACCAUUAGGAUACAGAUGCAAAUACUGGGGAGGAUGGAUGGUGAAUGUGAAAGACCUGUGCCUUUUUGGACUAUAAUAUUCGAUAGUCCCCAGCAUAUCAUUCAGACUUCUUACUGGUAAACAAUCAAGGGGGUUGACUUGACUUGCUUAUAAAAUGGCUCUGAACGCCUUCUUUGCGGGGCGGGUCCAAUCCAGCUGUUUUAAUAGGGCCGGCUGGAGUAUUGGAUUAGUCUCUGUUUUGAAACAAAAUCUAGUUCUUUGAUUACACGGGUCUACCAAAUUCUUCACAUUCCUCUUUGCUUAAAAACUAAAAACUAAAUGGAUUUACUUCAUUUUAGUUUCUGAAUUACCUUACAGCACCAACUCACUGUCAUUUCCUCCGGCUAAUCUUUUCACACAAUCAGUUAAUUGACUGGGUGCAUUCACAUUCAGUUGGGUAAUCUUGAUUUCUUGAGAGGGUUUCCAAUCAGGGUGGACUACAGCAAGAUUCACGCCGUUGCAACAUUAAUAUUUUCAUACAUGUGAAGGUAAUAUCCAAUACAAUAGAAACUUGCAUAAAAGGCAGUGGAGGAGCCAGGGAAUUAGUUUAGAGGGGACCAGAGUUAUGAAUUUAUUUCAGAUGGCGAAAAUAAGAAAAUCUGAAACAGAUCUAGGGGAUUAGUGACGAAGUGGCAGUCAUGUAAAAGGCCUGGAGGAUCAUCAAUCAUUCAUUAUUCAGAACUUAAAAUCUGGGGAAAUUUAAAAUAUAACAAGAAAAAAAUGAUCACAUAUAUUUAUAGAUAUCAUAGAACACUACUUAUAACAACAAUGUAAUUUUUAGAUCCGGUUAAGGGGUUGGCUUGUAUACACCAUUGAUUGGAGCCAAAAUAUGUGCUCUAAUGACACAUAUUCGAUAUGAUUUGUGCACCAAAGGACAUUCAAAUCACCCAACUUGACCUAAAUCAAUGCUAAGACCCUAGCCAUGAGUUUAAUUUGUACUUUGGAGACUUAUCUCAGGUUCAAGGGAAGAAAAUGGUGCAAAUUGAAUGACUUUAGAUUUUGAAAGACCAAGAAAUGGCUAAAUGAGGAAAUAAGUGAGUCAAGACUCAUGAAACUUAAGGAAAGGCAAGACGAGGAUAUCAUGAGUUUGGAAGAUCAGAAAUGACCAUUAUGGAGUAAGAAAGAAGGCAAGAAAGCGUGGGAAAUGAGGCAUGAAGCAAGAUUUAGUUGCAUGGAAAUUUAGAACUCAAAAAUCUAAUGACAUUAUAUACUCUGAUUUUGAGAACAAAUUUAGAGCACUUCAUAGAGUCCAUUGUAUAUAUACUAUAUAUCGUUUCGAAGUUUGAGAAGUCAGGAGUCCAACGCUUCAAACGGUGUACAAAUCAGAACUGAAAUGAAGAAGUUAUGGCCAUUUGAAGACAACUGUACCAAGUUGGAGGGUCAUUUCGAAAUGAUUUCGAAAUUCAACUUAUGAAUUCGAAAUCCACUUCGAAAUGACACCAAUUUCGAAUUCACCCACUGCUAGUUUGAUGUUUCGCCUUCUCUACCUCGGGAAUUAUAACUAGAGCACUCCAUCCGCCCUAAGUGGACCCCACACGACUAGAAAUCACCAUUUUAUUAUUUUUUAAUCAUUUUUAGGAAAUUAUUUUGUAAUAAGUGGUCAAUGAGAGUGCCACAUGUUAGGUAAUUGAUGGUAUUAUAUAAACUCUCUCAAUUCUAGGUUUUAGAGAUCUUGGAUUUUUUUCUAAAGAGUUUGACAUUGAAGGUGGAAGAAAACGAGAACUUUGGUUUGUUUUCUUUUUCUUCUUUAUUAAAUAUAUUGUUUUUAGUUUCUUUUUAUUCAAAUUAUGGAUUUUUACCCUAUUAUGGAUUGUGAACAUGACAUCACCCCUAUGAGAGGCUAAGAACUAACUUGGGGCUUGAAGCAUGAAAACCUAAGAGCUAGGAAACCUAUAGGAACAAUGGAUAAAUUAUUAUAAUAAUGAGAUUAAUUAUUGGCUGGGUGACAAUUUAUCAUUUUUUUAUCCUAUCCUUGUGAGUUCGUUUAAGGAAUGAUACGGUAAGUUAUUAUCUGAUACUAGUGAUUCUUGGUAAUUCUUGAUCAUUAGUUAUCCUCGUUUUCUCUACCGUUAUUUGCCCCUAAACAAAGCUAUAAGGAGUAGGAAGGGUUAAAAAGCCAAAUCUUAAAUUGGUAAUCAAUCUCAUUCAUUUGAUGGUUUUUGGAAUCUGUUUUAAAAAGGAAAAAUUAGGUUUCAGAUGCAAUUUUGAGUUAUAGAACUCAACUUGAUCGUGAGCGGCCAAGGAUCCCAAAACCGUAAGAUCAUAUUACUUAAAAGACCCCUGUUUUAUCUAAUUUCUAUACCCUAGGUUGGAUUGUGGAAAACCCCAAACUUAAAUCAAUUGAAUUUAAAAUCAAUAUUCAUUUUUUUUAUUAAUUUAAUUUCUUUUACUUAGUUUCAUAUUAUUCACAUAUUGUUUUUCACUUUAGGAUUUAAACAAAAACAAUUCAUUUAUUCUAGUAUUGACAAUUUUCAUAAGCCAGUCCUUGAUGACGAUACCCGAAAUACUACAAAAGCCGUAAUGACUCUUUCUCUAGUUUUUCUUGACCAAAGUUACUACGUAAAAAAGCUAAGUACUUUGGUAUAAUAGAGAAGUUCGGUCAACCAUAAGCUCACUAUUCUCUUCAUUCUCUUUGCAGUCGUUCUUUCUUCUUCAUUCAUAAGGCCAUGCAUCCAAGUCCAUCUAGUUCAAAGCACUUGUAUAUAUAUCCAAUGUAGAAAAUAUAUUUCACUGGUAAGAUAAAUUUCAAUGUCAAUACUUUUUCUUCCUCCAACCAUUUCUAAAACAAUCAUUCCAUAACCAUACACAUGAUUUUUGGGGGGACAACCCCAAAACCUCUACAAAAUACCUUGGGAGCAAUAUGUCUAGUAGUUCCUCUUGCACCUAACUUGGAUGUGAUACUCUUUUUCCUGGUACAUAGUUUCGCAAGCCCAAAAUCUGAAAUCUUUAGGAAAAAAUCUUCAAUAAAAAGAAUGUUAUCAGGCUUUUUGUCUUAGGACAAUAAAAAUAAAAUCAAAAUUGUAUUUGAAAGAUAUGGUUUGCGGUUGGCAGCCCUCUUCAAAUCCCUCUUUCCUUUUCCUAGGUGAUAAGAAUUUUUUUCUUUAUUGGUUUUGCCAAGCCUGACAUCAUAAUGGCAAAUGACUAGUAUUGUUAAGUACUCUAGUCCUCAAGCCACGUUGAUAGCAAUAUUAUACAAGGUUACCCAUCCCAAUCAAUCAUUUGUUUCUGAAUGAUUUCCAUCAUGCAUAUAUGAUCUUCUCAAGAGAUCUAUUAGGGAUGAAUUCAUUUAUAUCAAAACUUGUCUUCGUCACUCAAUGCAAAAGCCAAUAAGUUACCAUAUAUUGACAUGGCAAGUCCUACCAAUACUUGCAAUCUCAUUGAUAAAUUCUUCUCCAUUAUCUUUUGUAUCACUCAAGACCUUUCACUACUAUAGUUCUAUCCAUCAAGCAACUUUCCUUCAUAAAUACCACCAUAUCCUCAUUCCACGAGUUUAUCUUUGAAUCAUUUGGUCAUUCUUUUAACAUCAAAAUAAUUAUAUACCUUGCUUUGGAGCAAGAGAUCCAUGGUUUCUAAGCAAGAUAUCUCUAUAUUUUUAUGUUAAAAAAAAAAAAAUCAAAUACACAAUUAUAAAAUUAUAAAAAAAAAAUGAAAACAAUAAAAAUAACAUUUUAUAAAACUGAUUUUAUUAAGUCAAGUAAACAUAUUUAAAAAUCAAACACGCAAUUAUAAAAUUGUAAAAGAAAGAAAAUAAUAAAAAAAAGAAAUCAUAGAACUAUCUUUAUUUAGUAUAUUGAACAUAAUUUUUUAGAAUAAAAAAGUAUUUUUAAAAAUUCAAAAUUCGAAUAUAAUUUUGUUUUUGUUGAAAUGUAUCAAUGUCAAUCUAUAAUUUAAGAAUAAGUCACUAAAAUAAUGAUGGUUGUAUGCCGUAAAAGAUUUAUGUCACUUUCAUUGGAAACUAGUUGCUUUUCAAAUUUGAAAGGGUUGAGGUUGGAUCCAAAAAUCAUAGGUCAUGGACAAUGUACCUCUCAAAAGAAGAAAUAUGAUAAGAAGAAAUGAAAUAUAAUAUUAAAUAAAAAACUGAUUUUUAGAAAGAAUUGCUUUACAAAAUAAUAAUUGAAUUGGACUUGGUAAAUGAGCAUUAAAUAGGUUACCUAAUGAAGUAAUGAACUUUUUGACCCAAGUUUUCUAAGGAGUUUCCUACUUGCAUCCCUAUUGACUAAGACUGAUUCUUAGAAAGAAUUGCUUUACAAAAUCAUAAUUGAAUUGGACUUGGAAAAUGAGCAUUAAAUAGGUUACCUAAUGAAAUAAUGAGCUUUUUGACCCAAGUCUUCUGAGGAGUUUCCUACUUGCAUCCCCAUUGACAAACUCCCUCACACAUACUAAGAUUACAAACUGGAAUUAUAAUAGUUGAUGAUAAUUAUUUCCCUAAUAAGAAAAACUCCAAUGUUAACAUAAUUUUUUUUUCCUUUAGUUAUUUUAAUUUCUAAAUCACUAUUCUACCUUCAUAAACAUCAUACUCAUACUAAAUUAAAACAAAUGAAGGAAAAAAAAUGUUAUAUUAACAAUGGGGAUUUAUCCAAAAUCCAAACAAAAUUAUUUUAAUAUUGGAUAUAAAAUCUCUAAAAUAACUUUGAGAGAAUAUAUCCAAAAUUCUGAUUGGAGAUUCCACAUGCUAAAUUAUACCAAGGUAGUUUGUCUUUAUAUAAACAAAAUAAACUAUAUCAUAAGGCUUGUUAUUCAAUCUAGUUGGAAAUAGUAUUCCAAGCAAACAGUACCUUAACCUCAGAGUGAAUUAGGCAAGUAGUGGUAGAGUCAGAAUUUUGUUUGAGAGGGUAAGGAUUUGUUAGUCAAUAAGAAGUGAUUUUCAAAUGAUCCACAAAAUUAACUUAUAGAGGAAUUUGAUUAUCAUCAACUAACAAUUUGAAAUGACAUGUAGUAAAAAUGUCUAGACUUGAAAGAGCAUUAGUUAUCCAUCAUUCAGAACUUCAAAUCUGGAAUAAAUUGAAAUCAACUUGCAGGAAAAAAAAAGGACAUACAUGUAUAUACAUUACAGAUGAGCAACUUCAUGAUACAGAGGCAAUCGAUAAAUCCCUCAUUGAUCUUGGAGGAGAAUACAAGAAAGGCUUUGGUGGGAUUUGCAAUGAUUCAAGGCUUCCUUCCAACAUAUCUACCACUCCAUUCAUUGGUGGCCGAUUUGAGGGGUUGGUUUGUAUGCACCACAAGCUCACUAUUAUCAUCUUCCUUGCACUCGUUCUUUCCUCCUCAUUCAUAAACCCCUGCAAUCCAAGUUCUUCAUCUAAUUCAAGGCGCUUGUAUAUCCAAUGAGGAAAAUAUAUUUCACUGGUAUGGUUAAUUCCAUCAUCAAUAUUCUUUCUUCCACCAACCAUUUCUAAAACCAUCAUUCCAUAGCUGUAAACAUCGGACUUGGGGGAGACAUCUCCGAAAUUCCUACAGAAUACCUCAGGAGCAAUAUAUCCGGCAGUUCCUCUUGCACCUGACAUGGAAACGAUGCUCUCUUUUCGAGUACAUAGCUUUGAAAGACCAAAAUCAGAGAUUUUUGGGCAAAAAUCCUGAUUUAAAAGAAUGUUAUGAGGCUUUAUGUCCAAAUGUAAAAUUCGUGUGUUACAACCUCGGUGUAAGUACUCUAGGCCUCGAGCUAUGCCAAUGGCAAUAUUGUACAAUGUUUCCCACCCUAAUUUGUCAUAUGUCAUUGAAGAAUUUUUGUCAUAUAUGAACUUCUCUAGAGACCCAUUAGGCAUGAACUCAUAAAUUAGAGCUCUUUUUGAACCUUGAAAGCAGAAGCCUAGGAGACUCACGAUGUUGACAUGGGAAGUCCUACUAAUGCUUGCAAUCUCAUUGAUAAAUUCUUCUCCAUUGCCUUUUGUUUCACUCAAGACCUUCACAGCCACUAGAUCACCGUUGAGGAGCUUUCCUUUGUACACUGCACCAUAUCCUCCUUCUCCUACUCUAUCUUUGAAUGAGCUUGUCAUUUUUUGAACUUCUGAAUAACGAUAUCUCUUUGGAGCUAGGGAUUCGUGGUUUCUUAAAAAGGUCUCUACAUUUAGAUGAUUCCCUGUUUGCUUCUCCUUGAAGAUUGAUCUGAAUUUUUUGCUGAAGUAGAAAGUUAGUGCUAACGGGAUUCCGAUUCCAGUAAUUGAGAUGGCUGUAAUAAGAGAAAAGGCAUAUCACAUGGUACACAAAUAACCAUGAUAUUUAAUUAAGAUAUUAUGAACUAUUACUAUUGCACAAGAAAGAGAACAUCGUUAUGCUACACAUAUAGGAUGAGACAUGUUUGGUUCUUGAAAAAAUUGAGGGAAAAUGCAAGUGAAUGAAAAUAAAGAAGAAAAUAAGAAUUUAAUAUUAAUAAAUUAUUUUUCCAUGUUUCUUUAAACUUGUUUCACUUCUCAUUCUUUUUUAUAUAAAGAUUAAAUAAUUUAAAAAAACGUAAAAUUUUAAAUAAUUUUAAUUAUAUUUAAUUUUUUUUUAUAUUCUUUUAUAAAUUAAAUGUAAAAAAAUCAUUUUCCUUAAUAUUUUUUUUUUUCCUUUCCUUAACACUUCUUUAGAACCAAACAGAAUCUUAAAAAUCUCUUUCUUAGGUGGUCUUAUAUUAAGGUUUUACAAACCACUUGAGAAAGCCCUAGUUUCAUAGGGUCGAAAACUUGUUAUUUUUCUGAACACCAAGUUAUAGCACUGCCAUAUGAUAAAUAAACAAAUUAUUAAGAGGGUAAUGCUUCCGACAUUGAUACCUAUAGUGGGCAAAAAGACAAUAGUUAAACUUAAUGCCAACUACAUUAAUGCUAAGAGAGUUUUCUACUAAGGACAUAUGGAAACAUAUACAUAGAAGAAUUGGAUGUUAACAAGGUCAUGUUUAAAGAUCUUAGUGGAAAUCGAUUUUGUAUUGUUAACCCACAAAGAAGAUGGUGAGAAAUUGAAAUUCGAUCAUUACCAAAAGCCCCAGUAAAAGAAAAUUUUCCUUAUAUUUAUAACAGAUAAACUCAUUUCAAAUGCUAAAAAGUGCAAUAGAUUAUGAAUUAAUUGGAUUCAGUUGGUGUCCAAACACAUGCAGAGAACAAAUAUUUUUAUCCACGAGAAUCUUGCUAAAGAAAUAUAUUACCUAAUCCUAGGGCUAGCUUCAGUGUCUUGUCAUUCCCUGCAAGACAAGUAACAAAUAGCAACAAUAUUAGUUUAAACAGUAAACAUUGUAUUAAUCUACAUCAUAUCGUAUUCUCCAGAACGUUAAAGAGUACACUCAUAAAAAGAAGAGUCAAAACCUGCUUCCGCAAAUCUAAUAUAUAUUACAUUGCACAAACAUCAAUUUUCUCAUACCAGAGCCCUACAGUUAGAAGAGAGGAAUUCAUGCUACAUACCAAGCAGCAGGUUAUGUAAAUGCAAACGACGAAAAAAAAAAGGAAAAAAAAAUGAAAAAGAACAGAGGAAAGGAAUAAGAAAAGAGAUUGUUAUAUAUGUUGUGCACCUGUAUGUGCACACCGGAAUUUUCCCUCGUCAUCUCGGCAUUGGCCUCCACUAAAGUGACACUUCCGACAUUCGCGGGACAGAUGCACUUCAAGAGUGAUAUCAGAAGUCAACAGGGCAACCAGGUUGUCCAUUCCUAAACUCAUGUUUAUUGGAUACUGAAUAAUAGAACAGUCCAGUGGAGGUGGAGCUGGAAGAGUGGGAGUAUGGUUUGGUUGAUUAUGAGGUAGAGGUGGAAGAAGGGAAGUAUGAUUUGGAUGAUUAUAGUGGAUAAUGUAGUCUUGACAACCGGUAUAAGUAUGGUCUGUAGUAAGAUCAAUAUUGAGAUUACGGUGGCAUUUGAACAGGGUUAGUUCGGCUAGAGGGGGUACUGGUUUGAAAGAAACAGAAGGAGAACGGAAACGAGUUAAGUUAUCAAUGAAUUCACAUAUGCCGCGUUGCAAGUGCUCUUGAAGCCGCUCAUCUUGAAUUACUAUGGUAUCAGCCUGAGAGAUGUUUUUCAACCCAAAAUAUCUUCCGCCCCUUUCCAGUUGGAUCCGUGGAAGCUCUUCAGUACAUCGUACUAUUGUGCACAAUCCGCAUUCUGAGUUUGUUUCAUUUUUGAAGGGAAAGUGAAGCCGGCCCAGUUUUUCACAGUCAAAGGGUGGACAAGUUGGAGGGUGUUUCCUUUCUUCUUCAGCAGAAGAAAGAAGCACAGAGUGAGAGAGAAGAAAUAGAACUAGAAAAGAAACAGAACCCAUGCGAAAUCCCCAAUUCAACAACAAAAGCAUUGGCACCAUACCGACAGAAACAAGGUAAUCCUCCUCUCCCUUUAUUUAAACAAUGUUUUCUCUCUUUUAUCUGCUUAGCACGGCAGUUGACUUGGAAAUAAGAUACAAGAAUACUUGGGAAAGAGACUUUCUACAGGAUGGGCCAAGAGUCUCUGCUAGCCCAUGUGAAAGGAGUUUCCUUCUCCAUUGCUUAGAAAGACUUGACUUGAUACAACGGUUAAUGUUCAAAAUCACUGACAGUAUUUAACAAAGUCACGAGGACAUAAAAAAAAAAAAAAAAAAAAAAAAAAAAAAAAAAAAAAGAGAGACAAUUGUAUUUUGGACUCAAUUGAACUCAAAAAUUAAGAUUUGAUUUAUAAAAGUUGUAUAAUUGAUGGGGAUGAUAUAAAAUAUGAAGAGACCAAUAUACCAUUUAAAACUAUUUUCUAUCAAUAUGUUUGAGAAACUUUUUUAUCUUAAAUUUUUUUUUAAUAAUUAUUUUGAAAUUUUAUUAUUUUUAGAAAACUAACUUUAAAAAAAAAUUAUUAUAAAAAUUUAUUAUUUUAAAAAAAAUAAAUUUGUCAUAUUUUUAGUUAUUUUUUAUAUACAUAAUUUUUAAAAUAUAUAUUUUCCAAAGAUGUUUGAUUUUUAAAUAAUAAUAUUUUAUUUUUAUUUUUUUUGGAAAAGAAUUUUUUUUUUCAAAUCACUAAAUUAUAUUAAAUUUUAUUGAAGUUUGCAAAAGGAAUAAAAUUUAAAUUAAUAUUUUUUUACUCUUUUUUUCAUAGUCAAUAAAUGUCAUUUUUGGAAAGAUAAAAAAUUCAUAUAUUUCUUCUCAAUUUUCACACUUUCUCUAAGUCUUGGAUUUAAAUAGUGAACUUAUAUGGAUCAAAACUUAAUUUUUGGGCCCAACUAGGUCCAAAAUACAAUUGCCCCUAAAAAAUUAUUGGUCUUGUGGAGCAAAAGUAGGAGACGGGGUAAAGGGAAAAGAGAAAACAUGAUAGGUCAUAGAUUAAUGGGUACUUUUGUAGUCCCUCUCGAUAUCAGGGACCCUUUCCUGGGGCAAGGGUAGGUGCUUGUGAGAGGAAUUCUAGUCUUCAUACGUAGGUAUGGUUGAAACCUCGAGUACAUGUCUAAUUGUUUUAUCUUUGUGUUUUUAAUAUAAUAAUGUUUACGUGAAAGCUUCCACUUGCAUAACAAAUAAACUAAUUUCAAAUGCUAAAAAGUGCAACAGAUUAUGUUGGUGUUUAGACACAUGCAGAAAACAAAUAUUUUUAUCCACAAGAAUCUUGGUAAAGAAGUAUAUCACCUAAUCCUAGGGCUAGCUUCAGUGUCUAUGCAAAAGAAAACAAGAGGGAAAAAAAAACAAGAAUAGAGGAAAUGAAGAGAAAAGAGGAGAGAUUGUUAAUGUGUUGUGCUCCUUUUACAUGUGCAUGACACUGGAAUUUUCCCUUUUCAUCAUCUUGGCAUUGGCCUCAUCUACGGAGACAAUUCCAUCAACAGGGGAAACAGGUUAGCGAUACCUACAGUACUCAUGUUUACCGGAUACUGAAUAAUUGAACAGCCAGGUGGAGGUGGAGUUGGAGGAAUAUGAUUUGAAUGAUUAUAGUGGAUAGUGUAGUCUUGACAACUGGUAUAAUUAUACUCUGUAAUAAGAUCAAUAUUGUGACUACGGUGGCAUUUGAACAGGGUUAGAACGGUUAGGGUGGGUACUGGUGUGAAAAAAACAGAAGGAGAAGGGGAAGAAGUUAAGUUGUCGAUGAAGUCACAUACGCUAUGUUUCAAGUUCUAUUGAAGCUGCUCAUCUUGAAUUAUUAUGGUACCACCCUGGAUGUUUUUCACCUCAAAAUGUCUUCCUCCCCUUUCCAGUUGGAUCUGCGGAGUCUCUUCAGUGCAAUUUACUACUGUGCGCAAUCCGCAUUCUGGAUUUGUUUCAUUGUUGAAGGGAAAGCGAAGCCAACCUAGUUUUCCACAUUUGAACAAUGAACAAUUUGAAAGGUGUUUCCAUUCUUUUUCAGCAGAAGAAAGAAGCACGAAAUGAGAGAGAAUAAAUAGAACAAGAAAAGAAACAAAUCCCAUGCGAAAUCCCCAAUACAACAAAAGCACUGGCACCAUACCGACGGCAACAUGGUGGGCCGAGAGUCUUGGGAAAGAGACUUUCUCCGGGUGGGCCAAGAGUCUUUAGUAGCCCAUGUGAAAUAGGCCAUCAUUUUCCAUUGGCCAACAAAUAGACACCCCAAUCCACAAUGGGAGUUUCCAACUCACCUUCUUCAUCGCUUAGAAAGAAUUGACUUGCUGCGGUUCUUAAUGCUCAAAAUCAGGACAUAAAAACAGUGGGGUCUUGUGGAGCAAAAGUAGAAGACGGGGUAAAGGGAAAAGAUAAAACAUGAUAGGUCAUAGAUUAAUGGGUACUUUGGUAGUCCCUCGAUAUCAAGGAACCCUUUCCUGGGGCAAGGGUAGGUGCGUGUGAGAGGAAUUCUAGUCUUCAUAUGUUUUGACACUCUGGCUAAGGCUUUUCCUUAGUUUCAGGGAUUCGCACCUCCCUUUUCUGUGGAUAAAAAUAAAACUCAAAGAUAGUAUACGGUCCAACGUCAGGUUGGUCGACUUGCUUAUUAACCCAUAACAAGGAAAGGGUUAAAAUAAGCCAUAAGACAUGAGAACUAAAACCAAACCAGUCUGGAAGGAAUGAAGGAACCUUCCUGUUCUCAUUUCGUAGAGUGCAUAAUUUUCAAAAAUUUACCAAAAGAACCAAAUAAUAAAUAAAAGUUAGAAAAGGCAGUUAGUCAUUCUUUGCCUCGCCGUCAUUGCAAUGUUUGGUAUGAGGUCGAUCAGGGCAAAAACACACUGCAUCAUUAUUUUCAUCAGACCCACGACCAAUGCUUAGUUGGCACUCAAUGCAGUUGAUACCAGUCCAUUCAAGACUAAAUCCAUUCUUCAGUAACUCUAUGUAGUCCAUACUCUCCACUGUUUGAUCAUACUGCCUUUUGGAUGUUGUAAAGAGAGGUUUAUUUUCUUCAUAAAAAAUUCCAAAGCCUGGUAGCCACAGAAGCCUGUUCCUGUAUUAUAGAUAUCAAACGGGUAGCUUAAGUUUGGGCCACUCCAACUGUUCUUAGGCUUGCAUGCUUCACACUUGUGGACAACUGGUGCAUAUAAUUCCACUACAAAGGUGCAAAUGAGGAUACUGAUCCCAACAUAGAACAAGUAGUGUAGACCCAUUUGGAUGGCCAUUGUUGAAGAACAAGGAGCCGAGAGAAAAAGGACCUAUGAAGGCAUGCCGCGUGAAGAGUAACUCAGAAUGACAUAAAUAAGUCACCGUCAAUGAUUCCAAAAUCUUUCUCACCAUCGAGUGUUUAAUUUGACUGGAUUUGAAAUGCUUCAUCUAGAGUUCAAAUAUUGUACAAUAUCUUUUAGUUUUUCACAGUGGAAGGGUGGACAAUUUGGAGGGUAUUUCCUUUCUUCUCCCGCAGGGGAAAGAAACACAGGAUGGGAGAGAAACAAGAUGAGAAAGGAAGCAGUGGCCACUCAAAGUGAACACCAAGAAGCAGAAGAAUUGACUUCUCCCAACUUUUUAUUAGAAUUUCAUCAAAGACUAGUGGAAACUGACUGGUUGGUGUUGGGGAAAAAAAAAAAAUCCCGCAUACUGAAUGGGCCAGAGAUCAUACAGCCUUGCCUUGUGUCACGUGUCACUUCACCAUUUUUUUUUUUUCAUAAUUCGCCCUUCCAAAGAAUUUGGGCAAGAAGAUGAACAAGCACGGGACUCCUGUUGCCGUUCUCUUAUUUUCGGUUCUUUCAACUGGUACGUGGAUUUUCUAGAAAUACUGAUCUUUUUUCUAAUUGCUGGCCAAAGUCUCCACUGGGGUAGUAUCCGACUCACCUCCCCCUAUGGAAAGACUCGACUCCUUUAGUAUUUUGCAAGCCACAAAUAGAUAAGCACAAGCCUUUUGUGGAAGUUUGAAACGUCAAGAUGAGAAAUUCUCACCUAGCAUCUCCUGCCUCUCUGCUCUCUGAUUCAGUUUGAGCUCCUCCUUUGGCAGGCCAUUUGUUGCCUUGUAGCGUCAAGCGUGGAUAUUAGUUUAGGACUAGAACAUCAUAUCGUAUUCAUCACCCUCUCCAAUAUAGCCUUGGGUUGGGUCCUGCCACUAUGAAUGGAACUUCUGGAUAUCUGAAAAUGUGAUCUCGUUCCAAAUACGACUCUUUUAUAAUGCCUCCAACUUAGGUCUCCUACUGCAGACCAGACUACUUGUUUUUCAUGUGUACUUUCUGUGUCAAAUUUUAAUAAACAUUAAAUUCAUCUACAUGAACUUCAAAACAGUCAUAUGGAGCAUACCCUUGCAUAAGCUUAAUAUCCUAGGUUGGAACAAAUUGAUAGGAUCCCUUUUUUACGUCCCCGUGUAAUUUAAAUGCAUUGAGUCUUGCUUUGCACUUGGAAACUAGGCACACACCAUCCAGGUUUUGUAAAGCAUCUUAAGCAGGUACUACCAAAGAAUCUAUGCCAUAAGUUAAAUUGAUAUAAGCAUUCACUUCAACCACCAUUUGUAUACCAGCAGAGUUGAGGGUAGCUUCAGAUCUCGGAAGACACAUCCCAAAACACAAUUUAGGAGUUCCUAAAACUAACUCUUCUUCAGAUAAUGAAACUAAUUUUGCAUUAUUUGGAGAGAUUACAUAUACAUUUGACACAACAUUGUAGUGAGAUUCAAACAAUUGCCCCAGUUGAGGAAAAUGGGAUUAAAAGAAUAGACUGAAGGGGAAAAAAUGAGGCAAAACAAUAACAGAGUUAUACAACUUUAAUUCCACUGGGACGUUUUCCUUCCAUGGCAUCCUUCUUAUUACGGCAAUCAGCACAAAGAAAUGGCCCCUGCCAGGGCUUUGAGCUGGUGGAGAAGAUGGAACCAGCAUGAACAGAAAUGCCCUCGCUUGGAGCAAGAUCAACUUGGCAAACAGCACACAUGAAAAGACCAGAUGUAGGCUGCCCUGGGCACUCCUCACUUCCCAGUCUGCAAAGCAUGCAAUGGAGGGGAGAAAUUUCCCUUCAGUAUUUUACACCACAAGAAACAAAAGAAUGGAAAAACAAUAUCCAAAUGAAAGACCAAAUGAAUAAGAUAAUUAAAUUUUACAGAGGAGCAAACAAGAACAUGAAUUCCCAUAUUGUGAAACUGCAAAGAAAGGUAUAUCAUGGAGCAAACUCCAGUGAGAAUUAAGAUGAAAAUCUGUAAUAUUGCAGUCUCACUAAAGAAAAUGGUCUUAUUAAUGGUAAUCUUCAAACUAUUCAUGCUAUUCUCUGACCAUGAACUCUUGGAUAUCAGAUAUUGGCUUAUAUGAAACACAUGUUGGUUCCUAUACUGACUGAAAAUCUUCUUCCAGAAAACCUAUGAUGUGGUGGGACACUGGCCCAUUGGAAAGGUAAAAUACAGUCUGCUAUAGCUAGAUCUGGUACAAAGAAAAAAAAAACUAAUCCAUGGCACAUUAACAAUCAAGUCACGAUUUGUCUUCACCUUCUAGUGUGACAACCACUGAAGCAACAAGCAUUGGACAUAACCUGAUUCAAUCUAAUGAAGCAAAAUACAUUAAAACUGACUCACUUAACUAGAGAGAAGCUUAAAAGCAAUCCCAUUCGGACGCAUUAUUUGAGGCUGUACAGCAAUAAACAGAUAUUUUAAUUAAAGGAGUGAGCAUUCCUCUGCUCCAUAUUAAUCUUAACCUGUUGGCAUUGCCAACAUUCUAUACUCCAACUUCAAUGGUAAUGUCAAUCAGUUAAUAAACAAAGUAGUCAAUAUUGCUUUAUUAGAGGGUAUCUAUGCAACUUAACAUCAUAAAUUACAAAUAAAUAAUUAGACAGGAGAAAAUACAAGAUCCACCAUCUUUCUUUCUCCUUCUAUCAUUCUUCUUUAUCCUUUUCCUUUCCUUUUAACCUACACACCUUGGAAUACUUUCUCUUAUUUCUUUCUGCUUGUCUUUAACCGACAGAAUAAGUUACUUAUGCAAAAAGAGAAAAAAAAAGGCCAAAGUUCUAUGAGAAAGAAGCUCUAGCAGAUAAAGGAACAAUUAAAAAAGAAAGAUAGCCUGCAGUGCAAGGUAGUGAGUAUCUCAGAUUGCUCUAGAAAUCAAAAUCUGUAUGUGCAAAUAAAAAAAGACUCUACUAACCUCUCAGCAAGCAUUGCUGAGCCUUCUUCAAACAGUUCUUCCACUAUACCUAUAGCUGAUAGCUUCUUUGAUAGUUUAUUCACAGAAUCACGUGACCUCUUCCUGAAUAAUAGAGCUCUGAGCUUGUUUUGCUUUUUUGGAGGAGUUGAAGGCUGUAUUGAAUUAUCAGGAGGAAUUAUGUCUACAACUAUGCAGGUAGUGUCAUCCUUUAGGCCCCUUGUCCUCAAUGCUUCCUGUACAUUGCAAUGUCAAAUGAAAUAAGAAAGAAUUCUAAGAAUCCAUUGGAAAGUACACAUACCAUAAAAUAAAAAUUUGACUUUAUCUCAUUCCUAUAUCACUGAACAGAGGCUAUGCUUAGCCACAUGUAAGAAGGUGAUGGAAAGUUCAUCCAGGACUAGUAAGGAGAAAUAGCUUGGUAAUGAGUUCAAUCACCUUCACAACUUGCCUAGCAGCAAGUUCAGCAGGCAACCCACGGCAAGAUUUUGCAGCCAUUUCUGAGCACAGAGCAUCCCAAAUGCCAUCAGAAGCAAUUAUAAGUCUCCCACCUACAUUUGAUAGCUUUUGUACCAAUGAAGGGUGUUAGGAUUCAAGUUGAUGAAAACCUAACAAUGUCCAGCUCACAAGAUGUGUUUCACAGUCAAAAGAGGUACAGUGGUGAGUUGGCAGCCUAUCAGCUUUAGAACUGCCUAAAAGGAUUCACGUUUCAUGAGCAAGUAGAACAAGCCAAAUAAAAUGAUAAAUACCUUUACUUGUUUAACAUAUGGUAUUGGAACUAUGAACUCUCCAACAUCCAUAUCUCCUAUUGACCUAGAAAGACAUAAACCCCCUGGCCAACAACGGAGCGGACCAAUCUGCAAAAUUUGACCAAUAUAUAUCACACAACAUAAAAUGAUACUUUUUAUUUUAAAACUACCAAAGAGACUACUGCGUUUGUUACCCGGAAAAAAAAAAGGAUGUGAGAACUAAAAACAACUUACUUCAGCACCACCAACAAUGCUAAGUCUUCCUACUUCACCUCCACUUGCUGUCACACGUUCCCUCCUGCAAUUGAAGAACAACCCACUUCAUAAGUAUAUAGAAACAGCCAAACAAAACAAGAGGCUCUGAGAGAUGGACACUCACUCCUCCACAUUUUCUUCAAGCCUAUGAUCGACAGUUAAGGUAGAGACAGCACCACCCUGAGUAUCUAAUAUGCAUCGAGAGUCGCCAACAGAUGCAACUGUCACAGUCCAUCCAUCAACUAUUACAAAUGUAGCAGUGGUUCCAGAAGUUUCUCCUGAAGUUAUUAAGAUGGGGAUAUAGUGCAUUAGUUUCAAGGCAUAACAAAUAUGGUUGAAAGAUAAAAAGAAAAAAGAAGAAAAGGUGAGUUCUCCAAAUUCCGUGCCUCUGCUCUGGAAUUCUUUGUCCGUCUUUACAAACCCAGCAACUAAAGCCCGAGGCAAAGCUUGAAGCCACUCCUCCCGUCCAAGCCCACGAGGCAUAGCACCCAAUACAUGAUUCAACAAAUUUUCCCUCGUAAAAAUGGCUGCGGCAUUCCCAUUGUGUCCAUCUAAGAUCUGACAAUCAGAAAGAACAGUGCCCAUCCCAUAAGAGAACAAAGAUAAACCAACCAUGUCGCAUCAAAUUAAAUGCAACUUAUCAAGUUUCAGUAAAAUCAAACACGGAAAGGAAAUUCUAAAAUUCUUUAUGUUGUUGCAUUCAUGGUAGAGAUCAUUAUAGUGACAAAGAGUACAUUACCGCAAAUACAGAAAAGGUUGAAGAAGAAUUCCCAGGGAUUCUCUGGCAAUCUGUCUUCAUCAGGAAGUAAUCCUCUCCUUUCCUAGACUGAGCAGCACACCCGUAUCUCACAGUCGGCUUCUCCAUCUUUUCACUCCUCAUCUCUCUGUUGAUCAAUGCAGCAAGAGGCACAAGAUUCCGAUGUCGUCUCCCUUCUCCCGACGCCAUUUCCAGCACACCUAUCUCUUCAAUGCAGACCCAACACCUCCAAAGCACCAAAUUCUUUAUAUCAGCGGCAUCAAUUCCCACGUCUCAAUCAAAAUCCAAAUUCAUAUUCAAUAAACCCUGAAAUGUCUUUUUAAGCUUCCGAAUCAGCAAUUCUCGUAAAUAUCACAAACCCACAAACCGCGUUGGUUCAAUAAUCACAACUCCCUAUUCAACCACAAAUCUCGAAUAUCCUCUAGAUCAACUCCAAACUAUCAGACUUGAUCUGCAUUCAUCAUCAACAAAACACAGACCAAUGUCACAGUUAAGUUCAAGGAUCUGUGGCAGAAUUUAUCAUUCAACAAUUAAACACCACCCCCUGCUCGUUUCCUCAGAAAAGUCAAGAAAAGACAAACAAACUUCACACUAAAUAUUUUUUUUUUCCCUUUUCCUACAUUUGCUCAGAAACCAAGUCCCAACAGAAAAACAAAAGUAAACCAAACUACCACGAUAUUGCCUCAAUGCCUUCGGCGACAAGCCAGUAGAUCUGACUGCGAAAACAGCCCGCGAUAAGCAAAGCAGAAAGGGAAGAAGAAAACAACACGUAAAAGAAACGCGGAUUGAUGACAAGAUAUGAACUGUAAAACGCCCAAUCUUCAAUCAACCCAAAAAAAAAAAACAAAUAAAGAAAGAAAGAAAGCAAGAAUUUUUAAGAACUAACCGGGUCAGCUUCAGAACCUCCACCUCCACCUCCACCCCACAGUCCAAAAUAAAGAUUUUUAAAAUAUUUUUGAGUGGUAGCGAAGAUAGCUUCACUUUCUUUUCAAUUGAAAGAUGGAAAGUGAGCAAUAAAGUAGCUUUGCUGACUUAAAGCAAUUUGCCCACGACUCAUAUUGCCGCUUCUGUUAAAAGUCGGUUACCCCCAAGCUCAGAAAAGAUUUUUGACAGGAAAAAAGGAAUGAUGGCUAGGGUUUUCACUUUCUGUUCCUGUUUUACCACACCCCCAGAUCCUCCUAAAGAUGGUUUUCCUUACCUGAAAGGAAGAGCCAAGAAAAAAAGAGAAAAAAAAAAAGGAAAUUGCAGAUAAAAGCUGACACCUACCCAACGGCAUUGCAAGUGUUUCUGUGGCACAGUGGCAGUAAUGAUUUGGGCAUCUACUUGGGUUCACCAACAGUACGCUACCCUCCAUUGAACUGGAGACUUCAAACAUCCACAUACAUACAUGUUCAAAAAAAGUUGAUCAUAAAUUAAAAAGCUUCAUUGAGUUGAAUAAUAUUCCUAAUUUUUAUAAUUUUAUUUUAUUCUGUUCCUUAGAGGAUAGAGAAGUAUUUGAAUAGUCUAUACCAUAUACAGCACCAUUGGUUGUGUUUCCAUUGUCAAGGUGUCCACCGACUCUCUAGCCAGAUAUGCCAUUGAUUUAGGGUCCAUUAUUAAUGGCAAAUAGGGCACCCUUAUGGUGGAAGACUAGUAAUAUAAAAAAAUUGAUGUAAAGAGGUCCCAUAAAUCAAUGCUCUUCCUCAAUAAGUGGCUAUAGAAAUGCUAGUAAAUUGGGUGAAGCAUAUCGGCAGUAGCAUUAAAUUGGAGCUCACCAGUUUGAUAAUGAAGUGCAGAUGAGAGGAAUAUCGGUGUGGUUGGGAGUUGCCUGCAUCCUUCCAUGCUGACUCAACCUCUAUAAUUGAGUUGGGUUUGCAAUAAAAAUAAUGUUUUAUGAAAAAUAAAAAUAAAUCUAUACUUUUUCAAAAUACCCACCAAAUUAGUACUCCCUUAUAUCCUUUUUUUUUUUUUUUGUCAAAACCAUAAUUUGGAUUUGGGAUUUAAAGUUAAGACAACAAUGGGUGAUUGUAGUUUCAAUAUUAUGAUAAAAACAUGACUCUUGAUUAUGGUUUUAACUUUAUGUUAAAAUUAUAAGUGAUGGUUGCGGUUUUAACAUAAAUAAUAAUAAUAAUAAUAAUAAUAAUACAUGCAUACACACAUGGAUGUUAAUAUGGUAGAGAACCAUUAGUUAUUAAUGAUAAUUUUUUUGAAAAGGGAUGUAAAUUUAGAAUUUUCUUUUCAAGGAACAUUACUUUUGUGACAAACUUUUCCUAUUCUUCAAAAACAAUCUAUGCUCUUUCAAUUCAUUUUUGUGUUGUUACUUUAUGUUAUGGUCUUUGUAAAUAUUCAAAUCAUUUUAUUGGAUCUCAAGACUCGAUGCAAUUUUUAGGAUAGACAAAUUUUGAUACAAUUCAUUGACAUAAUUGUUUCUUUUUUCUUUUUCUUGUUUUGGUCAAAACCAUAAUUUUGAUUUUAGAUUUAAAGUUAAAACAAUAAUUAGUGAUUAUAGUUCCAAUAUUAUUAUGAUUAAAUUAUGACUCAUGACUAUAGCUUUAACUUUAUGCUAAAAACUAUAAUUGAUGAUUGUGGUUUUAAUAUAACAAAAAAAACAAGCACACAAGUGGAUGUUGAUGUGAUGGAGAACCAUUAGUUACUAAUGAUGAAUAUUUUGAAAAGGGAUCUAAAUUUAGAUUUUUUUUUCAAGAAAAAUUACUUUUUGUGACAAACUAUCCUUAUUCUUCAAAACAUCUUAUGUUUUUUUGGUUCAUUUUUAUGUUAUUACUUCAUGUUAUGGCCUUUGUAAAUAUUCAAAUCAUUUUAUUGGAUCUCAAGCCUUGAUAUAAUUUUUAGAAUGGACAACAUUUGAUAUGAUUCAUUUUCAUGAGUUUAAAUUAAAUAUAAACAUAUUUGGAUCAAAUUCUAUGUCGAUUUAUAUAAAUCAUUUAAUAAAUAUGUAAUUUUUGGAUUAAUCAACAUAGUUCGAAUUUAAUAUGACUCUGACUUAUUUAAUAAUGAUAUAAGCCAAUCUAAUUAUAAACAUAACUUAUUUAACAUAUUUUAUAGGUCAAUUGAAUAAUAAGUAUGUCAAAUUAAAAGAUUAAUAGUAUUGAUUCAAAUAAAAUCUAAUUCAACCUAAUUAUUAAAUAACAUAAUUCCUAUUCUUAUUAUUCGAUGUAUAUCAAUUGUUUGAGUUUAACACUGUAGGAAACACCAACAUGAAUUCUGAACAGUACCUAUUUCGUAUGCAAGGAUUGCAGAUGGGAGUCGGUCUUAUUUGAAUGAAAAGAAGGAAGAAAGGAAGAAAAUUUUUUAUAGGAAGGGACAUCACCAUGCUACAUGGUGAAGGCUAAUUAUGAGAAUGGUGGUGAGACAUAUUAUUGAAGUCUCAUAAUGACAAUUCCAUUGCAUCCCAGUGGCACAAAUUCCAACUUGUAUGUAUAAGAAUCAAGCUUCCACCAACCUGAAAUUUUCUUGAGAAUCUCGAAGCCAAGCAGAUCCCUUGAAUCAAUCAAUCUUAUUUGUUCCUUCCACCAUGCUUCCAACACAAGGGUAUUCAUUUGAGGCCAUUAAUCUAAACAGGCUGUGAGAGUGGCCCUUUCUGGGCCCUUUGUGUCCGCUUAAAAGGGACACCCACCCACUGCUCACCAGCCUGGGCCCUCUGUUCAAGAUACCCAUCCUACUCGACAAUGCCCACUCAGAUUUACAGGUGAGAUGGGUGCAUUGCAUGGUGCCUGAUUUUGAGGCUUCCAGUUCCACGCUCGCCAUCACUCAGAAAACUCUGCAACAAAACCCCAUAUCCACGUAUGGCACACAUAUAUAAUUUUCAGCCUUUCAGAGCCACUGCUGUUUGCACACCCCACCAAGUUGAAAGAGGAUUAAUCAAUGCAUAGCAUGGUGGAUGACUGUGAAUAUGUAACAAAAUAUUUGGAUUCUGUUUACAUUUCCAUGGCCAGUUUUUUUCCUUUUUUCUUUUUUUCAUGAUGAUGGUGGCUUGUAUUGCACCUAUUAGAUCUACCCUAAUUCUCCCAACAUGGUGAGUUAGACCAAUCAAAUCUCCAAUUCUCUCAUGGCAGUUGCCUUUGGUGGCAGUCAUAGUCAAGGACUAGUUCACAAGUCAAUUUCUUUGGGCACCCCAUUUGUUAUCUUUUGCUUGUUUUGCAUUGCAAUUCUGUGUGGAUGUUGCCAAUAUAUCACAACUGACGUACUAACAUAACAUCGUGAUGAGAUCUCUAUAAACGAAUACACCAUGCAAGCUUAUCUUUUAAGGUUCUAGGGAAUUUCAUUUUCAGAUUUGAAGAGAUGGAGAACGUUUACCGAUAGUGAAGACUCGCUUCAAACCUCCCUAUAAAAAGAAAAAAGUUGUGCCCAGCAGCCACAAGGUCUCUGAUACUUAAGUGGGAGGGGGAGCAACACUGAGAAAGAGGAGUUUUGUGUGUCCUACCACUUUGUGAUAUCGGGGAUUCCUUUUGUAGAUGUGGCCUCUAGAGAUCAGUUGGGGCUGUCCAUGAGCAUGGGGGCAUUAAACACUAGUCAUUCCAAAUUUUGUUGAUAAAUUAGGUCUGGGAGAUUAACAAUGCCUUUCAUAAUAUUUCAAUGCCUAUUGCUUUUAAUGAAAUUGUUUUCUAUGAAAGUAUCUUAUGGAGAAUUGGUAUUAUUGGGAGAAUUGUUUGUUAACUACUUUUUUAAGAAGAAUUAUAAGUGAUUUUUUUUUUUAAUUUCUUAAAAUUAUUUUAAAAUUUUACUUAAACAUAUUUUUUUCUUUAAAAAAACUUUUUAUGCUAGAAACAACUUUUUAAAAAAAAAAACAUAUUUUUAAAAUAAAAAUGUUUUUUAAAAAUAUUAUCAAAUGGACUCUAAUUAGCUUGCUCGUUGGAUUCAUGUGACAUCCCAGGCGACAAGUCCCCACAUAUUCCCCUCUUUCUUUAGUGCCUAAGGCUUCCAUGGGGUGGGAAAACUAUCUCAUUCUUUCAUGUGGAGCCACCUAGGUAAAUUGAUUUUGAACUUGCAUGAGGAGCUACCUACGAGGAUUGCUUUUGAAUUUGAAAGGGCUCCCCCCCACCCCCCAAAAAUAUAUUAUGUUGUACAAACAAAAUAAUUAUUUUUAUUAUAUUUUGGUAAAGUAGUAGGUAAAUUGAUUUUGAACUUGCAUGAGGAGCUACCUACGGGGAUUGCUUUUGAAUUUGAAAGGGCUUCCCCCCCACCCCAAAAUAUAUUAUGUUGCACAAACAAAAUAAUUUUUAUUAUAUUUUGGUAAAGUAGACACGAUUUUAAUGUAUUUUGUUGAAGUCAUAACUUGAAGACAUGAUUUUAAUGUACUUAGUUAAAGUUGUGGCUUGAAGACAUAAUUUUAGCAUAUUUUAUUAAAAUCAUGUCUUUAAAAUAUGAUUCCAAUAUUGAAGACUUUAUUAAAAUACAUAAUAAUAAUAGUAAUAUAUAAUUUCAAUAAAAAAUAGAAAAAACAAUAAUAAUAAAUUAAUUUAAAUAAAUAUAUAUAUAUAUUAGAUAAAAGAAAAAAAUGAACUAAAGUUUGUCUUGAAUCCACAAUUCCAUGAUAAUACAUUGAAAUCGUGUCUUCAAAAUAAUAUAAUCAUGUUUUCUUGAAGAUUUCAAAAGAAUAUAGUAAAUGGUGUUUUUGAAGACACAAAUUCACGGUAAUGCAAGAUAUGAUGUCUCACAUUGAAUAUUGAUAGGGAAGAAAGUUAUUGAUACUAUAUAAAUAUAGACUCCUCUUAAUAAUACAUACAUGUUUUUAAGUCGUGAAGAUCCUUUUAGGCCUAUAGCAAACAAUAUUUACAUAGUUAGGUACGAGUUGUUACAAAUAACAUCAGACCUUAUUCUCAACUCUGAUACGAGAGUUUAUUUAGUCUAUUAUGCUUGCAUGAGGGGUGUUUAUGAUGUUUCAUAUCAGAUAGGGAAGACAAUUUUUGACUCUAUAUAAGUAUUAACUUCUUUUAAUCAUGUAGACAUAUUCUUAAAUUGUAUUAUAAAUAAAUAUCAACACAACUUAGUUGGGCAAAGUGGAAAAUUUUUAAUAGAUAUGGGCAAAUUUCCAAAUAAUUGUGGCAAAACUUGAAAUUGAGAAAACAAAAUGACGAUCAAUGAAGAUUUCUUUGAUUUUUUAGAAGUGGCACAAAAUAGUGAUAAGAAAGAGAAGGGCAAUGAUAACGAUGGAUUGAGUCUUUUUUGUAGUGGUCAUUGUAGAGGUCACCAAGCCAAGAGGUGGUCCGACUUCAAGUUUCUGGGCCUUGAAGCGAUGGUCCACUAGGAUGAGUAAAAGGAAGGAAGACAAAGAUGGAUGGUUAGAUUUUUUUUAUUUUUUUAUUUUUCUUUUUCUUUUUUUCUUUUUAAUUUGAAAAGAAAUUUGAGAUAGUAUAUUGUGGGGUAUUUGGGGUUGAAAACGGAUUUUUGUCCAUAUAGAAGUCCAACAUGGAUGAAACUUCCAUAGAUCUAAAAUUAUUUUUUGAAAAAUUGUACUUUAGAAAAAAAAUUUCAAAAUAUCCAUACUUUUACUGAAAAACUGAAUUUGAAAAUAAGAUAAUUUGCACAAUUAAGGUGGGCACGCCCAUCUUCUUCUCAUGCCUCAUUCAAUUGAAGGGCCAAGAUACCAUAUUUGGGAUGCUACUAGCUAUCAUUCGCAGUAUGGAUGCAUUAGUCCAUGAAAUUUGUGGAUAACUUCGGAUUCAUUGGCUAAUGAUGGUUGGAGUGGCCAGGGGUUGCUUCUCUAGAUCCACGUGUCAUUGGUGGGGGUGGGCGCGAUGAGUGCUCAACACUCGACCAUCUUUGUGCGAGGAGGAAUGUGUCCAAUAUCAACCACAUUGUGCAAACAAGUUUCAUUGGAAGGGUUUAAGAGAAGUGAGAAUGAAUAUUCUAGAAGGUUUAUAUCACUAAGUACGACUCAUGAUUUAGACAAACAUCCCAUAUACUUGGACCUUAACAAACACCCAUAAUUAAUUCUUUUCCUCCGCCAAAAGCUUUUCACCUUUGGUGGGAUAGUGGGGAAAUACAAGCACACCAGAAGCUCAACACAAAGCCCACACUAGCUGAGCCAGCCCAGUAGGUGGUUCUUCAGAAAAUGACUGGUUGGACAGAGGCCCAAAGUGAGAGAGGGGCCUUAAAAGAGUGGAGAGCUGGUCAUCUGGACCAUGAGACUUGUACGGAAUCGUUCCCAAAUAUGCUAUUUUGCUGGGAUGUUCUUAUAUCAUCAUUUAUAUUUUUAAUGUUUUGUAUUCACAAUCUCCUCCUUUCCGGUUCACAUUGAGGGAUGUUUUUUUAAAAAAUUAUUAUUUUAAAAAAUAUUAUUAGAAAAAAAAAAAUGAAAGAAGAAAAAGAUCAUAUUAUAUUUUAUUAAUUUAUAUAUUUUUUAAAUUUUUAUAUUUUCUAACUUUUUAUAUUUUCCUUUUAUUCUAAAAAUAACAAGAAACUUCUAUUUAGAAGUUAUUUUUCAAUUUUCACUUUAAUUUUUAUGUCCAUAAUGUUUUCAAAAAUUAUUUUUAAUUAUUUUAAAUAAAAAUUUUAUUCACAAACUUAAUAAAAUAUCAUUUUUAAUUAUUUAUAUGUAUAAAAAGUAUUAUUUAUAUUUUUAAUUAUUUUUUAUAAUAUUUUAAUAAAAAAAUACUUGAAAAUAGUUCAAAUUUGUUUUAAAAAUAUAAUAUUUUUAAAAUAAAUUAUUUCUAAUUAAAACUUUGUGAAAGUGAUUAGUAUGCUAUUAAAUUAAAAUUUAUUUCCUAUUUUUAAAAUAAAACAUUAUCUUUAAUAACAAUUUCCAAAUAACCCAUAAAUAUUGCAUUUGACAAUCUCAUCUUACUUAGUCCAAUCCGUAGCCUAACAAUCUCAUUUUUUUUUGCUUACUUUUGAGAAGUCUCAAUUUGACUAAGUAAACAACCUCCGGCUAUUGUAUUCAAGCAUAUAGAAAACUCCACUUUAUUUUUUAGGAGUUUCCGUUGGAAGAUGUGUAGGUACUUUGAAUGGGUGAAUGAAUUUAACCCAUUAUUGAAACCUAAAAGUCUCAAGAAGCCAAAAUGUUUUGGCUUAUUGAAGGUGAACAUUCUUUUUCUCCCUUUUAGAGUUUAUAUAAAGAAAGACUUAGACUCUCUUUAGAGGUUAAGUUUUUUAAUUUUGUUGUCAAAAUCAUCAAACAUUUCUUUCCUUCUUUCGUUGUAAUAGAAUCAAACAAAAUUUAGUUCGUUAGAAGUGGUUACAAGGUGUUGUUAUUGCCAUUUGAAAACCAUUUUAUCUUGGGAGAUAGAUGUUUUGUAAUUCUCAAAGUACCAACGGAGAAGAUAAAUUUGUUUUAAGGAUAUUAUAGCUUCGCGAGACUUUAUUUAAAACUUAGAAGGAGAAUGAAAGAAUUAAGAUUAGACUUUAUUUAAGAAAAAAAAAUGUUGUAUCCAUGAAGCUUUCAUACAAAUAUUGCUAAUUGAAGAACUAAAGAUAAAACAAUCACACACACGAUACACAAGAUUUUAAUGUGAUUUGACCAAUUAUGUCUACAUCUAAGGAUGGGAGAAAAUUUGACCAAUCAUAACUAUUAAGUUCCAAAACAUUUCAUGUUUUCUUACUUCUUAUAUUCACACAUUGAACCACAAGUCUUCUCGUUUUAUCGAGUAUCUUAUGUUUUUUCUCACAUCCCUAUUUACCUUGUAUAAUCUCUACAUCCUCAUCUUCAUCUCAUAACUUUUUCCCUUCACAAUGUAGAAUAGUUAUUAAAAAAUUAGAUACGUUUGUGACAAAAUACCAUAAGACUACCUAAACAAAUAAGCAACAAAUGAAGGAUGAUGAAUGAAAGGGAUGGUCAUGGAGGGACCAUUCAAAAAAAGGGUGAUGGAGAAGGAUCAUAAAUAUGAAUAUUUCCUAAAGGUUUGUGUCACAUUCACUUGGGCUUACAAUAUACUAAACAAUGGCCAUGCAUACUAAAAAAUACAUGCAGCUUCUGGCACAUUAAUUAAAUGUGCUUGGUGAUAAUCAUUGGAUAGAAAGUCGCAUAAGAAGUUAACCUUCCUAUAUAUAGAAGUUAAAUAACCAAUCUUUUAUUACAAUGCCCAUAACCCUUCCGUCACUUUAUUGCCUUAAACAACAAAAGUGUCUUCUAUAGUGAUUGUUCAUUUGUGGGCUCCUACAAAAUGUGCAUAUUAAUUCAUCAAUCUACACUACCAGAAAUAUUUUUUAUAUAUUUUUGUUGUUUAUAAAAGAAAAUUUCUAUGUCAUUUCCUUUUCUUUUCAUGAUGUUUGUAAAGAUUCAAAGUAAAUGGUCCAAUUGGUUUCAUAAAGGAUGAGACCAUGGGAGGACUUUGAAAAGGUAAAGAAGGAAUCCGUCUAUCCCGUCAUGGGUCAAUUCUACAUUAUUUCCUGACCUCCCUCGAGUGGUUUCAUCCAUGGACCAUUUUUGAAUUUUCUUCGUUUCAUCAAAAUUGGGGAAUAAUUUCUAUUUAAAUAAUCAUUCUUUUUUGAAAAUCAAUAUAUACACAUUUCAUAUUUAAAUUGUUGAAAUAAAAAAAAUAAGAAAUCAAUUUCAUUCUUGGAUUAUUUUUCGGGAUAAGAGUAAAAAUUAAAAAAUCUAUUUGAAAUCUGAAAUAUUAUUAAUAAUUUUUUAAUAUUUUUAAAUUAAUUUUUAUAUCUAAAAUUUUAUUUUUAACCAAAAGGCAAUUAAUUAAAUAUUAUUUUAAAUUUGUAAUUAAUUAAUAAUAUUUGGUGAUAAUCGAAACUUAAAAAGUUAAAAGCGAAUUUUACAUAAAGCAUCGGAAAGAGGGAAGGAAAAUUCCGAUAUUGAGAUCGGAAGAGCACAAGUGUGGAAGAGAAUGAUGGUCUCCAUACCAUAUUUGAGCGUUCAAGCAGAGCGUCCAACACGUUCCAGGACUCGACGAUUCCACCUUCAAAUGUAAGGGCUUAUAAAUCUGCCAUGCGAAAACCUGCUGCUUCUUCACCAAUUUCCCAAACCCAAUACGCCAAGAUCUCGAUUCUUGUUGGAGAUCCCAAUUGCACCACCUCUAGAGUUUCGAUAUGACCGGACCCCAUCAAUCUUCUGGCGCUCACAGCAUCAGGGAUACCAUCUGUUACGCCGCUUCGGGUGCUGCUGCAGGUGCGUUCACUUUUAGUUGUGUGUGUUCUUUUUUUUUUGGUUUCAAUUUCGAGCUAUUUUGUGAUAUGUUUUGUGGGUUCAGCUGGGGGUUGAUUAAAUUUAUGCGAGAAUGUGAAAUUUACCCUCCUUUUGGUUCCUCAGAAAGUAUUUUCCAUUCUUUUUCCUUGCUUGGGUACAUUGUAUCAUCGAUUUCAUUCCGUGAAUUGUGAAAAAUUGGGGUGAUUUUAAUUCAUUUGAUGAACUGAGUGAAAAUUUUUCUUGUUUAGCAUGUGAAAUUGAAGCCUUAACGGGAACGCAGUUGAUGAUCUAACUUCACAAGUGUGAUUUGUUUGCCUUGUAGGUGCAAUUGCUGCCACUUUUGUCUGCCCAUUGGAUGUGAUCAAAACAAGAUUACAGGUCCAUGGCCUACCUGAAGUUCGGCAUUCUGGCGUCCGAGGCAAGCUGUAAUUUGUAUUUUGCCUGGAUUUUGUUAUUGAGUGGUAAUAGGAUGUUCUAUUUAGCUUUGGAUAUUAAGAAGCCUUUCAUGAAUUCAUUUUUCUGAAAGGCUUUUGGUUGAAGUUACUUGUACAAGUUUGGAAUUGGACUCUUGACCAAGUAUAUGAAUUUUAUGCCAAUGAACGUGGAAGAAUUGGGUAUGGGAGCUUGGUUUCCAAUAAUCAGCAGUGUUCUGCUUAUUCAGAGAUGCAUUUUUGUGAUUUUGAAUGGAUUCAGUUCUUGAAAAAGGGGGGAAAACAUUAACAAAUAUGAAAGACACAUUGACAAUUGUGGUUAUAUCACGACAUACCCAUACCAAAUUACUUCGUCAAGACCCAACACUAGCUAUGCAAUUCUUAGCCUAGAGGCUGGCGAAGCUAAUGUAACAACAUAUUGCAGUACAGUCAUGUGUACAAUGACUUUUUUUAGUAGAUUAGGCUUUAUUUAUUCAUUGAGUUAUUUUAUCUCUGAUCUCAUUAACCGUUGCCUCUCUCUCCCCUGCUCCCCCUGUUUUUUUCUAGUAAAUCAUAAGGUAGACAAAUCUUAUAGGAAUUAUAAUUUGUAAAACAUCUCCUUACUGCCCUAGCUUGGUGCUUAUUCAUCUUCUAGAUACUGCUGCUUUCCACAUGCCUACUCUGAAGGAUUAUGUGAUAGGACUGGUGGAUUUUGUUACUCUCCUCUUCUCGAUGCAUGCAUUUUCUAACUGUUCUCUGCUUUUGUUUAUCUUUCACAUGCAUUGCUUGAUGACUGUAGGUUGCUUUGCUGACCCUAUUACAGUAGUUCCAAAUUAGGAAUUUAAUGAAAAUAGUUUAGACACUUUCCUUUUCACUAUUUUCAUUUGAUUUUUAGUUCAAAAAGUGAAACGUGGAUUGAACUUUUUCUUUUGUUCUUCUUCGUUUCUGUAUGGGUCAAAAUGCCACAUUUUUUUAAUGCUCUUAUUUUUUGGCAAAAAGCAGGUAGCGUCAUUAUUACAAGCCUAGAAAACAUAAUAAGGACAGAGGGUUUGAAGGGAAUGUAUCGUGGCCUUUCGCCAACAAUAUUGGCACUACUUCCUAAUUGGGCCGUGAGUAUUACUUUUCUUGAGUUCCUUCCAAAAAAGAAUCAGUAACUGGGACCUCUUCUGUCAUUGAAGGAGGCAUUUCAUCUUUGAAUUCUUUCUUGAUUUGUUAUAAACAUGUGGUUGCUAGUUUUCCCUUAAGAAUAAUUUUGGCAUUCUUAAGAGGAAUUUUGUGAACUAAAAUGAAUUCUAGAUUUUGCUUCACAAAGCUAUAUUGUCCCUUCUCCAUCAUUUGUUUCUUAUUAUAUAUUUCUCUUUUAAAGAGAAUUCUUGUGUCGAGGAAUGAUUUGCUUUCCCUAUUAAUUUGGUUAGACAGGAGUAACAAGUUUAAAUAUACUUAGCGAAAUUGAAAAGAUGCUUUAUUUAAUAAGUAAGAAGGAAUUUAUUAGUAAAGGCGCCUAAGAAAAGGGGGCAAAACCCACAGGCACUGGAGGUAUACAUUGAGUGCCCAAUGGGGCUGAAACGCAACACCUUGAAAAAUUUAGCGAGGAUUCAGAUUAUCUAUGAAACCCAACAGAGACACAAAGCCUACAUCCAAAGACUUCUUAGUUCAUAAGAAUGGAGAACGAAUAAAAGACUCCUUUCAAGCUUGAACCAACUGUUCCAAAUUCUCAAAAGUCCUCCAAUUCUGCUUCCUCCAUAAUGUCUAAAACAAGAAAAGGAGAGCUGCUAACCAACUUUUCUAUGAUCUUUCCCAACCAAGCUCCCAUGACACCCUAAUAAGACCUCUUUGACUGACCCAGGAAGAACCCAAGAAAGACCAAACAAAGAGAGCAGAAAACCCCAAAGAGUGCCAAUAUGCUAGUGGAUCAGAACAUCGUUGGCUAACUCUUCCUCAUUCUUACACAAGCAACACCAGUUUGGGAAAGGCCACCCCCUCUUUUCUUCAAUUGAUCUCCCCACUUUUAAGAUUUUUCCAAGUGUACACCGGUGUGUUUUUUUUCUAUUCUUUUCUUUUUUUGCUGGGACACAACUUGAAUUAAAUUAGGGGUAUGCGCUCAGUAUUGGAACUCACACUACGGGCACUUUUUUUCUAAUCUGUUGCUGGGAAUCUGUCAGAUUGGAAUGAGAAUAGCCUAGUUGGAAUCCAUGUUUUAUUGAACAUUUGAAGGAUUGAAAGAUGGAGUAGGUGAAUGUUUGCUUUGUGAUUCUCUAUGAGUGAGAGGAAAUAGUCAUUCUAUGUUGCUUUGGAAGGGAUUGGGGUGGUGGGGUUUAGUGGGGGUGUGUGUGUGUUUUUACCCCUUUGAUCUCCAGUGUGGUCUGAAAUAGCUGGAUACCUGCUAAGGUUCAUUUAGUUGUUUGGAUGGCAUCUUCAAACAAGAUUUUAACCAUUGAUAAUCUGGUGCAUUGGGAUCUGGUGCUUCCUUAUGGGUGUUGCAUACAAUGUUGUCAAAUACAUUUUCAUGGGUGCUCAAUGACCACUAUGAAGCUAACCUCUUUGUCUAUCACUUGUUCUCAUGGAUGUACUGCAACUGAUUCAAGAUUACUUUUAUGAUGCUUUUUGUGGGUUACAGUUUUUUUUCCUUGUUUUGCUCCUUUUUCCCCUUUAGAGCAUACUGUUAUCUGUUUUUUUCCUACAAAUUUGUGAGCCUAAUCUGCCACUUGAACAUAUUUAUUCUAUUUGUUUCCUCAAAAUCAACGUUGAUAUUCAGGCUAUAGAUUUGACUCAUUUAUACACAACUUUUCUUCUUUCAUCUGCCUUCAACAAAGAUAUGCAGAAUAUCAUCCUAUUUUCUUUAUAUUCUCCAAGUGACAGAAGUGCUCAUUUCUCAUGUAGGUGUACUUCACAGUGUAUCAGAAAUUAAAAGACGUACUGCAUUCCCAUGGUUUGUUUCUUAAGAUGUUCCUACCUUGAAAAAUGCGGUUUUGUUUUUCUUGGGCUUAUGUCAGACACAUUACUUCAUUUUCUAAGCUUUGAUAUCCUACAACCUAUUGAGAUUGGUGAAGUUUGUUGUGUUGGUUGGUUGGUUUGAUUGCUUCAAACAUUUCUAUUGCAAUGCUGCAGUGGAUAGCAGCAGUCAACUUACAAUUGGUGCAAAUGUGAUAGCUGCUUCAGGAGCUGGGGCUGCCACAGCAAUUACAACGAAUCCAUUGUGGGUUGUUAAGACCAGACUCCAAGUAAGUUAUGCAUCACUGUGUUCUGAUUCCUUCUGAUACCUAUAGAAGAACAUCGUAAGAUGUUUCUCAUAUUUUGCUCAUCUCUGUGGUCCCUUCCAUUGGUAUGCACAUAAUAUAACUUAGAAGUUAGACCACAUAUUACUAAACUUCCAGCAUUUUAAUAUUGAAGAGAACAAAUGUUUUGUGAGAUAAGCGGGAAUGAAGGAUAUACACACUCAGGAGAUCCUAUAAAUAUGAUGCUUGCUACUCUUUGAACAGGAUAAGAUUAAUUUUGUUAAUCUUUGUAUUUUGUUGCCUUAAUUGCUUAAUAGUAAUAUGCUCCUGAGCUUAGUAUUGUAUUAGAAUAUUGAAAUAUUAAACAAAAUGGAAUACUAUAACCUAUCAACAUAAGAUUAUGCUUGCUGUUACAUUAGUUUCAGACACAUGCAACAGGUCUAAAAUGUUGUUUUGAGGCAUCUCUUGGAAGAUGUAAGUAAGUUGUGUUUGGAUCAUGGGAAGUUUGAGCUAAUUAUGAGUAAAAAAAACGAUAAGGAGGGAAAAGGUAAGGGAAAAAAAGUCCAAGCUAAUGAAUAAUUAUAAAAUAUUUUAUGGAGAAUGAAUAAUUUGAAAAUAUUUUAAUUAUAAAAUAAUUUUCAUUAUAUUUUAUUGUCUUUUGCAUUUUCCUUGUUAAACCCAAUCAGAGAGUUAGAGGUUCCUUUCAACGGAAUUAUGCUGGAACGCCAAUUUGUUGUAAAUAAUUCUCUAUAAUAGGAUAUUCAUAUUGGGGUGCAUGUUGUGUUAUUUCUUGUAUUUUUGGGACACCUUACUUAAAAAUACACCUUCCUACUUUCUAUCCUUUGGCCUUUGGUUUAUCCUCCAUCCGCCUAAUCAUUUUGUAAAUUUAGUCUGUAUCAUCUGAGUCAUAAAACUAUCUUAUCUAUUGGCUUGAAAUGCAUUUCCUAUUAACUAAUGUACAACUGCUUGUUAGAUGGAAUCUCUUCCACAGAACAAUGCCUGAACAAGCUACUAGAAAAUGGAAUCCCCAGAAAAAGUGCACAAAUUAAAUCUCUCUAGAUAGGCAGUAAUCUGAUAGUUACACUAAAAAUCUCUAAGGUUCAUCUUUCUUAUCUAGUUAUCAGAAUUGACUAAUUUGGGCAAUACAUGAACUAUGGUUGAUGCUUAAUCAAUCAAAUUAAAUAGGAGGUAUAUCUCUCCAGGCCACUUUCAUGUGAUCCUUAAGAAGAUCUAGUAUUUUUACCAAACAAGAAUUCUUGUGUUGGAAGGCUAGGGGUAAAAAGAGGUUAAACUUCCAUCAUUUAAUGUGGGGUGCGAAUGUUAACCAUCAGAGUGAUAAGACCUAAGCAUUUGUUAACUAUGUAACAAUCAACCAUUCCCUCAUUAAAAUCCCUCUCUGAUAUUUGCUUCUCUAAUUCCUCAUCCUUACUUUUCCAUUUUUUGUGGGCACUAGGAAUGGAGGCAACAAGAUUUUGAAGUUUGAUGCCCUAUUGUUUUGCUGAUAAAUUCAUGCCCUUCAGUCUUUGAACCCAAAACCCUAGUAAGAAAGAGUGCUACCUAAGCAGAAAGGGUAGGGUGGGAAAACUGGGUUGAAACAGUAGAAUAGUUGAUAUUAUUCAUUUAUUGCACCUUUACCUCAAUUCUGAACCUGUUGUACUAUUGCUUUCAUAACAUUUUUGGUUAUUUAUCCCCUUUUGUUCCCAAAACCAUUGCUAAACAUUUUUUUUUUCUGUUUGGAUGUUUGAAGCUUUGCUGCUGCAUGAUGGUAUAAGAGUAAACUGUCCUAGAUAUUCUCUGAAAAGCUUGGACAUGGUUUAUAAAAAGGAUGUCUCAAAAGAACUUUUUUUAUGCGAUACUUUGAUAAAGAUUGUGAAUCAGUGACAAUAACCCUACCAAACCAACAUAUCUUAAUGCUUUAUCAUAUCAUUUUGAUUUUGUUUUGGAUAUUCAUUUGUUUUAUCCUUGUUUAGACACAGACAAUGAGGCCAAAUGUGGUUCCUUACAAAGGCAUAUUUUCUGCUUUGAAAAGGAUUGCACAAGAGGAAGGCAUUCGAGGAUUGUAUAGGUCAGUGUCUCUUUGUUUAAUGUUCAAAAUGUAAUUGUGGAGAUUAAUUGAGCCUUUGGUAUCCAUAAUCUGAAACCCUAAAAAAUGAAACUGCAAAUUGAUGCAACUUGUCAUUCUCUUUUCUUUCUUUAUUAUUUUUUUCUUCCUCUGCCUUUUUAGACUUAACCUGAAUAUAAAUUUACAAAUACCAAGAAUAGCCCAUUCUUGUUGGAAAUGUUGGCGUGCAAAAGGUCCAUACUUUUUAUUUUUUUUGAAUUUUGGUAGAAAUAUUUUGUUUAGUAGUUUUGGUGUCAUAAUGCCAUUGUGAUGCUUUCAACAGUGGCCUUUUGCCUUCAUUGGCUGGAAUAACUCAUGUUGCCAUCCAAUUUCCAGCAUACGAGCAGAUGAAGUCCUAUUUAGCUAAAAUGGGUAAUAUGUUUGAUUUUUUCUUACUUCUUAAUCACGGGUAGAAGAAUCUUGUGUAAUUUUUUGUUUUGCUGAAGUUCAGGUGAUACCACAGUUGAUGAACUAGGUCCUGGGAAUUUUGCAAUUGCCUCAUCCUUCUCUAAAGUACUUGCCUCCGUGAUGACUUAUCCCCAUGAGGUUCGUUUGUGCUGGAAUACCAUAAUAAACUGAUGAAGGAGAAGGUCUAAUCACCCAAAAGAUUGGAUCUUUUAUACUGUUGUUUCUACCAUAAUGUUUGACUUUCACAUCACCAGGUUAUUCGUUCAAGGCUGCAAGAGCAAGGGCAGGUCCGGAAUUCAGAGAAGCACUAUUCAGGUGUUAUUGAUUGCAUUGAGAAAGUGUACAGAAAGGAAGGUCUUCCUGGUUUCUAUCGUGGCUGUGCAACUAAUCUAUUGCGGACAACUCCAUCUGCUGUUAUAACUUUCACCAGUUUUGAGAUGAUUCAUAGGUUUUUACAGCGACUUCUACAUCCGGAUGCAAAGCAUUCAUCAGCCAACCCUAAUUCUGAUGGCCAUAUUAAACCUCAGCGUGAAAAUGGGAGAACCGUAGUAGAACAAAAUGACUCCAGUGUAAGGCAGUCACAAGCUCAAUCUACUAGUAACAGAACUCCAAUUCCUAUUGGAAACAAGGAGCAGCUACCUGCAAGCCACUGAUUGAUUAGUGUUUCUUGUCAACCUUAUUUACCCCAUUACAGAAAUUUUCUGCAAAACUGAUUAGGUUAAGCCACUCCAGUGUGAAGCUGAAUAAAAUGAGAUCAAUUUUUUUAUUUGGCGUGAGAAUUGUAUAUUUAUGUAGCUUUUUUUUUUUUUUUUUCUUUCCAAUUUAUUUUGUGACAUUCAUCCAUUUUGCUGCAAGUUCUCUGCUUAUUUUCAAUUUUAUUUUGCUUUCUUUUGAGGUCUAGACACUUAGUAUUGUUCAUUUCUUGACGACCAUAAAGAAAACAAUGUUGUUGGAUUAACUAUUAUAAUUUUAUAAAAUAUUAUUAUUUAUUUUUCUAAAAAAAAAAAUACAAUUUAUCGAUUUAUUAAAAUGUUAAUAUGAAUGUUUUAUAAUUUCUAUUAAAAUAUUAGCUUUCUUUUUAAUAUAGAAAACAUAUUUUACAUAUUUAUUUAUUAUUAAUAUUAUUGUUUACAAAAUUUACAUUGUUCAUUUUAGAAAUUAUUAUCUAUUUUUAUUUAUUUUUUAUAAUUUAAUAUUUAUUUUAGAGUAAAUCAAAAUUUCUAUGAAUUUUUUAAACAUUAUAAUUCAAUGUUUAAUUUUUAAAAAUAUCAUUAUUUAUUUCUAUCGAAAACAAAUAUAAUUCUAAUAUUUAGAUAAUGAAUUUACAAAUUUUGAGAAAGUUUGUAUAAAAGGUAAAAUAUUUAUACAUAGAUAGGCUAUUGUUUUAACGGCAUGUAUGAAAAAUAAUUUUAAAUGAAGAAGUUAAUUAUAAUAAUAAAAUUAAUUAUUGUUUUGCAAUUAUUUUAGGUUAAUUAUAAAAUAUGAGUAAAAAGAUUAUAAAUUUUUAAAAAAUAAAAAUUAAAACAAAGGUUUGAAUAUACUCUGACCUUCACUUUUAUGGGAUUGGGCAUAAGGGGAGAGGGGUUUUAGAAUUUAAAAUUUAGAUCAUAUCUUAAAGAUUAUCAUUUAUGGGGGGAAUCACUUACCCAAAAAGCCAUCAACAAAAUUCAUUCUUUUGAGGGCGUGAAGGAAGAGGAAACCCAUGUAAAUUCUUGAUGCUAUUCAAUCAGAGAAGAUACCACACCUUUAAGCCCAAUGGGGUGCAAUCAUUAUUAUCUUAUUUUGAUUUCUGGGGUGGCUUUCUUUCUUUCUUUCUUCCACUUUCAAUGGAAAUAUCUGGGAAAAUCAGCCCUAAAUCACUUUUCCCAGAAACCAAAAGAAAAGAAGUAGCUUAUGUCUUCCUCCUCUGGUCCCUGGAGAAAAGUGGGGUCAUGGUCUAAUGGUGUGUUGAAUCAUCCAGAACCAUUGAAUGGUCGCAUCAACUCCCUCACCACUUUACCACUUUUCCCACUAAGUUGCGCCGGUGAAUUGCAGCCAUCCCAACAAAAUACCCACCCAAAGCAUCAUCCUCCCGCGAUUUCUGAUUAAAGUUCACGCCCAUCCACGUGCUAUUCUUUACCCAUCACCCCCAUUCUUUCCCAACUUCAAUUUCAAACAUUAAAAAUAAACAAUUAAAUAAACAAACACUCCAAUCUACAACAAUUUCAGAGCCGUACUGGAUUGCCGGAGACUUUCUUUUCCGGCGACUCGAGUUAACCACCAUCAUUAUAUUACAUUUGAAAGCACAUCAUUCACAAUUUUUCUUUCAAAGGAAGACAUUAACGAGUAUUGACAAAAAGUUUAUUUAUUUAUUUUUUUUUUAUUUUCUGUGUUUUCGAUAAUUUACUCUGGAAUAGUGACGAGAACAGGACGCCACGCCCUCUUGAUGAAUCGAUGCCGAAACCCCAACCAGACCGGCCUCGGAGAAAGCGGAGCAGCUCCUAAACCGUCGCCGCUGAUAUCUUCUCCAUUCAUUGCUGACGGAAACGCUUCGCUUUUGUUCUUCAUCUUCUCCGCUACCUUCUUGGUAUCUUCGUCCAGCGGCGGCGAAGACACAAACAGGUCCUUCAGAGUGCGGCUGCUCGAGUCCUUGCUCUUCUUGUUCUUUUUCUUUUCAGCAAUUUGUCGAUCGGAGAAGUCCCGCCGCCGUGGCGUGCGGCCGAGCAGCGUGCGGAGUGUUUUGCGGCGGCGGAGUUGGAUGAGAGGACUGGAGGUGGGGCUUGGGGCAGGAGCGCCACACUGAGUGGCCAUGAGCUUGAAUUUCUGUAACAUCACCAUUAUUGGAUUCGUUUGUGACUAAGCUCAAGAUCGGAAUUUGAAUAUCAGGGAAUCAUAAACGAGGGCGGCGAUUUUGAUGGAUUGGCUGAGAGGGAAAGGGUUUUCUGGCACUGGGUUGCAUUGUAUUAUCUAUCUACUGUUAAGAGUCUGUCUCGCUGGUUCGAUUUUCUCUCCUUUUUGUAGACUUCGAGGGGUGCUUGAACUUCAAGCUGAACGUGAAUGCCUUUUUUUCAAAGUGAAAAUUAUACAAAUAGGUCUAAUUCUGAAUCCAUUGAAUAUUCCGUGGCCCAAUUUCUACACAAAUCGGAAAGCCCAAUGGCAAAAAUAAUUCGCCCAACAAUAUGAAAAGAGUAACCCCUAAUAGCAUAGUUGAAAACUAUUUUUAUAUAUUAAAAAUUUAUUUUAAAAAUAGAGUUGUGGAUGAAUCUCAACUAUGCAUUAAACCUAAGAAUAAGGUUUUGGAUGAAUCUAAAUUAUAAAUUACACCUAAAAUGGAGAUUUUAAUUAGUAUUUUUAAGGUUCCCUAAGAUUGAUUCAAAGGCAAAAUAUGGCGCAUCAAUACUCUUCCAAUAAGUAAAAUAACACAAUUAACAUGCUAAUGUAAUGAUAUUAUCUUAUUUAGUUUUCGUCGAGUUUCAACUACUCUAAAUACAAAUCUAAAUGUCUUUUACUUUAAAUAAAAACCAACCCAAAAAUCAUUGAAUCAUUUUAAGAUUACACAAUCAAACUUGAGCUCAAAUUCUCUACUAAUAUAUUCUUUAAAAUAAGUUAUUUUUUUUAGCCAAGAUAAACACAAAGAAAAAUAACUAAUGAAGAGAUAGAGAGAAUAAUGCAAUGACAUCGUGAUUUAAUAUGGAAAAUAUUUGAAGAGAUAAAAAACCAUGGGUCCACAAGCAAUCAAAGAUAUUUGCUAUGAAAAACAACAAUUAAGUAAAGGGUUUUCCUUCCCCUUAUUGUCACUCUAUAGAAUCGUACAUGAGAUUUUCACCUCAUACAACUCCUCGUUCAAUUCUUUUGAAGUCAUUGGAUCAUUUUCCUCGUUCGAGAAUCUCUUCCCCUCUUCCACUCCGUCUCGAAGAGUAACUAGGACCAAUUCAGUCACGUUUUCGUGUUCCAAUUGAACACUUUCCAUUUUUUAUUAUUCUCAAAUCAAAGGAGAAGAUUAUUCUUUUUACCAAACAUAUGCAACUCAAGCCUACUAAUUCUUCCUAUACCAUUUGACUAGCACUUUUCAACUUCAACUACCCUUUUUUUGUUAGAGUACACUUGGAAUCCACAUUAAGCUCAAUCUUGAUUUCUUUUAAAUCCACAUAAGAACAAAAUGGAUUUUACCUAAACCCAAUAACCACAAAGAGGAAAUGGAUGGAAGAACCAAAUAAGUUAGUUCAUACUUUAAAACUCACUCAAAAAUUGUUUUGAACUUCAUAAUGGGUUAGAUUUUCUUAGGAAAUAAGUAUACUCACACUUAGAAUGGGAGAUGAGCAUUAUGGAAGUGUGUGAUAGUUGCUAGCAUUCUCCAAUCCUAAAAUAAAAAUUUUGGGUUUAAAUUGGAAGAAAAACCCUUUAUCCAACUUGUUAUGGAUCAACGUUGAAACAAGGCACAAAAAUACUUAUCAAAAAAAAAAAAAAGGCACCCAAGUCUCCUAAACCUUUUUAAAAAGAUUUUCAUUAAUUUGAAAAAGCUAAUUGAUUUGAUUUCAUCCAUCCAGUACUUCAAUUACAUGCCUUCACUUUCAAGCACUUUCAAGCACUUUCAACACCUUGAAGUUCUUCAUUAGGUAAGUAGUUCGAGAGAGGAUUUGGUAGACUGAGUUGGGAGAACACUUUUUUGACCCGAAAUUUCUAACCUAACUAAAUCACUCACAAGAAUGUUGUUAGAAAAAUUAGGUUAAUCCAACUUAAAGUAAUCACCCUAGUGAGUGAAUAGGGUGAUAGUAUCUUUUUGAAAGUUUAAAUUAUAUAAAUGCAAGAGACAAUUAUAUGCAAAUAUAUAAUAAAACAAUAUAAAAACAAUUACGUAUAAAGUAAAAAAAUAGGAAAGAAAAUGCAAAUACAAGAUUUUUAUAGUGGUUCGACACAACCCGACCUACAUCCAUUUUCCUCUAACUUCAAUCCCAAACUUGAGGUUCCACUAAUUCAAAACUUCCAAAUCAAGCCUUCAAGCAAUAUAAUUGAUUAUGUUUUCAAUCAACUCUCUUAGACUUUUGGCUUAAAACACCAUUUAUAAUCCUUAAGAGAUACCUCAGGAUUGAAUGGUGUACUAAUGAUAUACAAGUUUAAGAACAAUGAUGCACUAAAAAACACUGUCGCAAGGCUCAAAUAUAUUCAAGAAAUUUUUAGAAAUGUUAAACUCUUUAAAUAAUGAAGAUUGGAACCUUUUUAUAGAGGAAAAAAAACGAAAUUAGUUGUUGUGAGUUCAUCCGGUCGAGCUUUGGUUCAACUAGCAUUUAAUGUAUGACAGAUGACCAUUGGACCUCAGCCGCCCCUCAACCGGUUAAGGUUCAACCUUGACAGAUUGAACAGACAUUCUGGAAAAGAGAUAAGAUUUUUGCACCAUUCGACUGAUUAAGCUAAAUGUGUCAACCAGUUCCUCAUCCUGUUCAACCGAUUGAGUUGUUUUUGGCUAAACAACCAUAAUUUUCAACUUAAAACCUUUUAAAUAAGAUUGAAAAACAUUUGACACAAAGUUUUAGUUGAAAAUAUGAAAUCAUCUAAUUUUAAAAGAUUUAAAACAAAAUAACUCUUAAAAGAUUUUGGUGCAUAAAUAAAAAAUGUAAUGUAGGAAAAACCUAGUGCAUUAACAACUUUACAAAGAGAUCCUAUGAAGUUUAGGUCUUGAAAAACACUUUUUUUUUAGGUUUUCUUCUUUUUAUUGAUUUCUCUUUAACUUGAUUUUGUCUUUGUGAUUACUACUUUGGAAAUCUUCUUGCCUAAUCACACUUGAAAUAUAAUCAUUAGUUUUAAACUUUGUUUUGUUAUCAUCAAAACUGAGAUUAACUAAACCUUGGUUUCACAAAUGUUUUAUGAGAACAUAUUUUUAUUGUUCAAAGUUGUUCUCAUAUAUUUUCUAAAUAUUAUUUAAAAAAAAUUGUAUAAAAAUAAAGUAUUAUGAAUAAGAGUUAUUUUUAAGAAAUAUUUGAAAACAUAGAAAAAUAUCUAGAGAAUAUUUCAAGUUCUCGAAUAGACUUUUGUUUUAUAAAACUUCAUAAAAUUGAUUUUAAAAAUUGUUUUUUGAUAACUGUUUUCUAAAACAUUCCUAAACAUUUCAUAAAUAUUUCUAUUUUUUUCAUUUGAUGAAUAGAACCCCGCCACUUACUUUGUAGCAUCAUUGGAACUCACCUUUCUUGACAUCAUCUACCCAUGUAAUGCCUCUGCUCAUCUCCCAUCCAAAAAAAAAAAAAAAAAAUCCCACGACCACAAAUGAGACAAUAAGGUCAUGACCAUGGCUGUGGUGGUGAAGUGCACGAGGUGUGUCGAUGGACAAAAGGUGUGUCAACAUUUAAGUGGGUGACACCAUCCUUGAUGUUACUAGCAUCAAUGAGAGAGAGUGGCCUCAUAUGACCAUAAUUAUUGUCCUACCUCCAUCCACAAUGUUGAAACCAUCAUUCAUGAGCUCUCUUCAAACUAAUCGUUACUUAUGAUUUCUACCCAUAAUCUCUUUUUUGCACUUCUCCAAUCUAGUAUGAUCUUCCACAUGUUGACGGUAAUGGAGGUAAUUCAGUGGGCCACAAUAGUGGAGGUGGCAAUGUUAGGGGAUGCGAUGGAGGUUUCAGGUGGUGAAUUGUGAGAAAGUCUCAUAAUUUUAUGAGUUUUUCCUCAAUGUGUGGCGAUCUAGGGUUUUGGCGGAUAUUUAAUUUUAUUCAAGGUUUUGAUAAAAGAGUUAAUUGGAUUAAACACUGCUGUAAUAUGUGACAUUGCUUCUUGGUCGAAUUUUAAGCUUAAUGAGCUCAAUUUCAUCUUCUCAAUCCCUAUGAUUGAUGAUGGACAAUGUGGUGUAUGGCAAAAAUAAAAAUAUUGAAGAAUUGUUGUUUUUGAGUUGUUGGUGGGGAUCCUUUUUGUUAUAGGAGAAUUGUAUUUUUGAGAAUCCUAGUAAUGACCCCAAAUGAUAUAAAUGGUUGCAAAAUUAUCCUUAAGCCUAGCAAUUGAUAUAUAAUUGAGUGGAAAAAUAUGUGACAUCCAUAAUAUCCAAAUACAUCUUUACAUCAAAUAUGAAAAUUGAGAAAACAAAAAUAAAAUAUAUCUUGACAUCAAGUCAUUUCUCUAACCGCGCGCUCUCUCUCUCUCAUCUAUCUUGCGAAUUUGAACACCAAAUAUAAAAAUUAUUUUAUUAUUAGCUCUAAUAGAAAAAAUAAAUAAAAAGAAGUAAAAACAUAAAGAAAUCUAAAAAAUAAUACAAUAAUAUAUUUGAAGUUUUUUUUUGAGAAACAUGUAUUGUAAAAAUGGAAGACUUAGAUGUAUGAAAUAAAUUUUUAUAUUUUAAAAUCUAUUUUUUAUUAUUAAAAUAAUUUUAUAUAUUUGAUAACUUAUUUUUUUUAGAAAAUGAAAAUUUUGUUAAAUUUUAUUGGAAUCAAAUUUUUUUUAUUAUUAGUUUUUUUUUUUUUUUACACCUUUCUCUCAUAUUUUGAUUUAUUCUAUGUACAUAUAUGAUAUGAAAAUUUUUCACCUACUCCAUUGAGUGAAUUAAUGAGAUUCUCCAUAUAAGAAAAUAAAAUUAAUUUAAAAAUUAUCUUACCCAAAUCAUUCUAAUAUUAUUAAUAGUCUUAGUUUUAAAAAUCUAAAAUUAGGUUGAAGGAUUAGAUUAUGUUUGAGAAUUAUGGAACAAUUUUUUUUUGUUUUUAAGAACAAAACAUAAAAAUAAAAAUAAAACCAUGUUUAGUUGUCAAUUGUUCCUUAUAACAUGGGUUUUUGAAAAUUGCUCUAAAAAUAAAGUAUUUUCUGAUAACAUAUUUUGAUUACUUUUUAGUUAUUUUUAUUUGUUUUAAAAAAUAAAUACAAAAAUGAUUGAAAAUAGAGUGUUAUAUAUAACUUUAUUUUUAAUAAAUAUUUAGAAAUAUAAAAAUUAAGUUGGGAAUAUUCUAAGUUUGUAAAUAAAUUUUGUUCUGAAAAAUUUCAAAGAUCAUUUUAAGAAAUGGUUUUUGAAAACAUCAAUCUAAGUAACUUCAUGAUACCUAACAACAUCAAACCCUUAUAAAACAGAACCUAAGUAACUUCAUCAUGAGUUCUCCUCACACAAACCAUUACAUCCAAUUCCCACCCAGAAUCUUCCACAUGUAGAGACAACAAAGGGAAUUUGACGAGUUACAACAACGAAGAUGGUAGUAGUGUUGGGGGGUGGAGGUUCAGGUGGUGAAUCAUGGAGGCUCUCAAAGUUCUAGGGCUUUUUCUUCAAUGAGUGGUGAUCUAGGGUUUUCUUUGGAUCUUUAGUUUCAUUCAAGGUUCCAAUUGAGAAGUUCAUAAAAAUGAGAGCUUACUACUAAGGGAUUUGAUAUCUAUUAGGGCUUUUGAGGUGCAUGCAUGUAAGAUCCUAGGCAUAAUGGAGGUAAUUAAAAAUUAAAACUUUGGUCCUAUAAGGUGCAUGUGUUAGAAAACAUACCAAGUGUUUGAAUGUCCCUAAACCCAAAUCUUUUUAUUUAUUUAUUUAUUUUGUAGAAGAUGUCUCAAAAUCUCAUGAUCUUUUACUCGAUGACUUCUUAUAUCGAUGACUAGUGUCUACAUAUUUCUUUAGGGAGAGAAAUGAAGGCUAGGUAUCUAGAAGACCAAGUCUUUAAAAAAUUAGAAAAAUUAGAGUCAACCCUAAAACCUAUAAAGUUUAUAUAGACUCUCAUGUGGGCUUAAGUGACUUUGGUUUAACUUAAACUUAAGUCAUUUAAUCUAAUUCACUGAAUUUUAAUUAAUUAAUUAAUUGACUUUAAUAUGUUCUAAUUAAUUAAUUAACUGAAUCUAGAUAAACAAAAUUAAUUAAUCAUAAAAUCAUAUGCAACUUGAUAUUUUAACCAAAAUGCCCUUAUAAUAUAAAUGAUUAAUUCUUCAUAAAGCCUUAAAAUAAAUAAUCAUAAGUGCUUGUGCAAUUGUACCAUUUUACUAAAACACUCUUUAUGUACACAUAUGAUUAAAUCUCUAAUUUUCCUCAAAAUUUUAUGCCAAAAAAGACUAUGAGCUCAAAUGAGGACCAUUGAUACUAGUAGGAAAAUAUUGACUCUCUUAAAAUAUAAUUUUGAAGUUGAUUCAACACUCUAUUAAAGAAAGUUAAUUGCACUCUAGUAUCCUAUGUUAUUAUAUCAAGCUAUGAAUUGAUUAAAUCCAAUUUAAUCAAUUCUUCUAGUCCUUAACAUACAAUCCACUAUAUGUAGAUUCUCCAUGAACAGAUGUCUAUAAUCUAAUUAUGAGGUAAAUGCUAUCAACCUUUCAAUAUUACCUCUACAAUCCUUGAGUCUCAAAUCCCUUUAUUAUGUAAUCAACUAACAUAUUUCAGCUUAUGAGGAACAUAUGUCCAAUUCCACUAAAGGAAUUAUUGUGACAUCAUAAAUUUUAUAAUCACAAGUCCUAAUGACCACUCAAGGGGACACGUUGUUUUAAUCUUAUGAGAUAUCAUAGUGUCUCUAUUAAGAAUACAUGUUACUAUUUGUUUUAAUUAAUAAUGAUCUAAUCGAUAGGGAAUAUACGACCACCUUAGGGUUUUACUCAUAAGUCAAAACUAUUGAAAACUUUAGUACUAACUCAAUAUCCUCUCAAUGUUGAGAUUUUAUGCAGUAUAGUAGUUUGGUGAAUUAUAAUUCCUUAAUAACCAAUGUCAUGAUUUAACAUAAAUUUUGUUCAAUGCAUAACAAUGCAUACUAGUACACUCACUAUGAGAAAUUCAUCCUAAUAAUUAAGACAAGACAUUCUUCCUAAUGCGCUAUAACCUUAAAUAGAUUAUUUAUGUCUAGAAACUGACUAUGAAUUACUCAUCAAUUUGCAAAGAACUCAUGACUUGAAUUUUUCAUACAACUCUUAAUGUAUCCAAAUAAUAUAUAAUGCAAAUGAUUUAGACUCGAAAGCUCAAAUAAAUAUCAAUACAGAUAAAGAUAGAUAGUAAAAUUUAACUUUAAUUAUUAUAUUAUAUCUUACUUUUAGAAGGAUUGUCUUAACAUUUACAUCAUUGAUGGCAAUGCAUCUUAGCCAAAUUUCAGACUCAAUGGCCCAAGUUCGUCUUCUCAACUGUUGUUAUCGGAGGAGGUGGUGUGGUAUAUGUUAAAGAGCAAAAACAGAAAUACUGAAGAAUCACUAUAUUUAGAUUGUUGGUGGGGGUUAUUGUUGCCAAUGAACUUUUGGUCCGCAUUGUGUAAAAAAUUAGACUGUCUAAUGUUUUAUAGUUUGAAAAUUUGGAGGUUUUUUUGGGUCUUACAUAAUUUUCCAUUUUUUCCUAGACAGGGAUAACGUGUUCAAAGACACACUAUGCAACAUGGAAUUAGGAUGCACUUUCCCCUGCCACAUCACCAAUGGAGCAUUACAUCAAUUUGAUUUGAUUACUGCCACGUAAUCAUUUGGUAUCAAUAAUCAGAAAAAUGAUCAAAUAAAAAAAGUAAUCAAGUAUUAUCAUUGAAAAGAAUUUAGUGAGAAAAAGAGCAUUAACUCAUCGGAUGAGGUGACUUUUUACGUUUUAUUUGAAUUAAUGGAACGAUUUAAUUGAUCUAUUUUCCCUUUCUCGAUUGAAAACAUGACCCGAUUAAAGGGCUUUUAAGAGCUAAUCAAUGCUUCCCUGUUGAGACAUAACGGAACUUUUAAUCAUAUAACUAGAUCAAAGAUUUCGUAUUCUAAUCAUAAUCACAAGAGACACCAAAGCUUACAAAAUCAAAGCUGGGCAUAUCAACGACAGCUUCUUUUACUUUGCACAUUCUCCCUUCAGGCCUUAAAUCCAGUAGACAAUGAAUCUGAGAUUCAUCUCUGGUACAUGGACAACAAAACAAAGCUACGAAGAUGAGAAAGAACAUUAACCCUUUCAGUUAUGUGAGUUAAAUGUUUCACAUAUUUUUAGCAUCUCCUUUGAAAAAUAAGCAAAAUACAAGGGAAAAGCUAAGCACUGGCGCUUGGUGUAGUAGACCUACUGGCCCAUUGAGCGGUCGUACUAUCUGGUGAUGGCAUCAGCUGGACGCUUUUCAACAACCCCACUUCAUCACAAUCUGGUGAAGGUGGCGGCGGCUCACGCAUCGAUGAUCCAACACUGUCCGCUGCUGCGUCCAUGUUCUCCAAUUCAUGCCUGUUACUCUCAAUUUCCUUCAAAAUCUCCAAAACUUCAUCCAUGGAAGGCCUCAUUUCCUUGUCAGGUUGCAGACAGCGAAAGGCUAAUUCUGCUACCAGAGUAGUCAUCCUAUUAACCGCAAGAUCUGAAUUGAAUCCAAGAUGUGGGUCAAUCAGCUCGUGAAAUGCACAUUUUUGUAUCUUGUUUAUAGCGUAGUUAGACAAAUUGAUCUCAUGCUUAAGCCUACUAAAGUCUACAGCAGGCAGUGAUGAUAUGAGUUCAAUAAGGACAACCCCGAAGCUGUAAACAUCGCUCUUGUCGGUAAGCUGGUGACAUAGGUGAUAUUCUGGAUCAACAUAGCCGGGAGUUCCCUGUGGAGCGGUUGAGACAUGGGUAACAUCAGUGGGGAAGAGUCGUGAAAGCCCGAAAUCUGCGACUUUAACGCAGAAACUAUUAUCCAGGAGAAUGUUCUUAGUUUUCACGUCCCGGUGUACAACAUCAGAAGCAUGGAGAUAACAUAAUGCGCUGGCAGUUUCUAUGGCAAUACUCAAUCGGAUAGGCCAUGUGAGUAAGCCUGAAUCUGCUCGAUUCCCGUGGAGAUGAUCAGCGACUGUUCCAUUGGGAAUAAAUUCGUAAACCAGAAGGAGUUCACGGCUGUGGCGUGAGGUGCAGCCGUAAAGGGAGACAAGAUUCCGGUGGCGCAAACGAGUGAGGAUUUGAACUUCAUUCAUGAACUGUUCAACCCGCCUGUAAUUGUUCUCGUAUAGGCGCUUGACGGCAACCUCUCGCCCAUCUCGCAGUUGUCCUAUUUGACAAAUAUCAAAGAAUAGCCUCUUCAAAAGGGUGACAAAUUUGUCGUUUUAAGUUUUUUUUUUGCUAAGUAUUUUCCUAGUGAUUAGGUGAACUAUUAACAGAAUCACAGUUGUCCAUCACCUUACCAUGGUAUACAGUUCCAAAACCUCCAUCUCCAAUUUCUCUAUCAGGGACAAAAUGAUAAGUGGCUUCUUCAAGUUCACUGUAGGGGAAAAUGGGGAUGCCAAAAUACGUCCCCGUUGUUUCCAAUCCUGGUUGUGAAGAGGGAUCUGAAGAAGUGUUCCUUGAGAGGAAAGUUGAAGCAUACUUCCUUUUAUGGCGCUGUCGGAUGAUGAAACAAAUUAUUAAGAUGGUAAUGCCUCCGGCGCUGAUACCUGUAGUGGGAAAAAAGACAAUAGUCAAACUUAAUGCCAACUACGUUAAUGCUAAGAGAGUUUUCUACCAAGGACAUAUGGAAACAUAUGCAUAGAAGAAUUUAAAGAUCUUAGUGGAAAUCGAUUUUGGAUUCUUAACCCACAAAGAAGAUGGUGAGAAAUUGAAAUUUGAUCAUUACCAAAAUCCCCAAUAAAAGAAAAUUUUCCUUACAUCUAUUACAGAUAAACUCAUUUCAAAUGCUAAAAAGUGCAAGAUUAUGGAUUAAUUGGAUUCAGUUGGUGUCCAAACACAUGCAGAGAGCAAAUAUUUUUAUUUACAAGAAUCUUGCUAAAGAAGUAUAUUACCUGAUCCUAGGGCUAGCUUCAAUCGAUUGUCAUUCCCUGCAAGACAAAUAACAAAUAGCAACGAUAAUAGUUUAAACAGUAAACAUUGUAUUAAUCUACAUCAAAUUGGUAUUCUCCAGAACAUUAAAGAGUACACUCAUAAAAAUAAGAGUCAAAACUUGCUUCUGCAAAUCUAAUAUAGAUUACAUUGCACAAACAACAAUUUUCUCAUACCAGAGCCCUACAGUUAGAAGAGAGGAAUUCAUGCUACAUACAUAGCAACAGGUUUUGUAAAUGCAAAAGAAAAAAAGAGAAGGAAAAAAAAAACCAAGAAUAAAGGAAGGGAAGAGAAAAGAGGAGAGAUUGUUAUGUGUUGUGCACCUUUCACAUGUGCACACUGGAAUUUUCCCUUUUCAUCAUCUUGGCAUUGGCCUCCUCUAUUGAGACAAUUCCAACAGUGUGAGAACACAUUCACUUCAAGAGUGAUAUCAGGAGUCAACAGGGAAUCCAGUUUAGCGAUACCUACAGUACUCAUGUUUACUGGAUACUGAAUAAUUGAACAGCCAGGUGGAGGUGGAGUUGGAGGAAUAUGAUUUGAAUGAUUAUAGUGGAUAAUGUAGUCUUGACAUCUGGUAUAAUUAUACUCUGUAAUAAGAUCAAUAUUGUGACUACGGUGGCAUUUAAACAGGGUUAGUUCGGUUAGGGUGGGUACUGGUGUGAAAAAAACAGAAGGAGAAGGGGAAGAAGUUAAGUUGUCGAUGAAGUCACAUCUGCCAUGUUUCAAGUGCUCUUGAAGCUGCUCAUCUUGAAUUAUUAUGGUAUCACCCUGGAUGUUUUUCACCUCAAAAUGUCUUCCUCCCCUUUCCAGUUGGAUCUUCGGAGCCUCUUCAGUGCAAUUUACUAUUGUACGCAAUCCGCAUUCUGGAUUUGUUUCAUUGUUGAAGGGAAAUUUAAGCCAGCCCAGUUUUCCACAUUGGAAGAAUGAACAAUUUGGAGGGUGUUUCCCUUCUUUUCCUGAAGAAGAAAGAAGCACAGAAUGAGAGAGAAUAACUAGAACAAGAAAAGAAACAGAUCCCAUGCGAAAUCCCCAAUUCAACAACAAAAGCAUGGCACCAAACCGACGGCAACAGGGUAAUCUUCCUCUCCCUUUAAGCCAUGUUUUCUCUUCUGUAUCUGCUUAGCACGGCAGUUGACUUGGAAAUGAGAUACAAGAAGACUUGGGAAAGAGACUUUCUACUGGUGGGCCAAGAGUCUUUGGUAGCCCAUGUGAAAUAGGCCAUCAUUUUCCAUUGGCCAACAAAUAGACACCCAAUCCACAAUGGGAGUUUCCAACUCACCUUCUACAUUGCAUAGAAAGACUCGACUUGCUGCAGCUCUCAAUUUUCAAAAUCAGGACAUAAAAACAGAGUGGUCUUGUGGAGCAAAAGUAGAAGACGGGGUAAACGGAAAGGAGAAAACACGACAGGUCAUAGAUUAAUGGGUACUUUGUUAGUCCCUUGAUAUCAGGGAACCCUUUCCUGGGGCAAGGGUAGGUGCGUGUGAGAGGAAUACAAGUUUUCAUAUGUUUGACUCUGGCUACGACAUUUCCUUAGUUUCAGGGAUUCACCCGAUCAAAAUAAAGCUCAAAGAUAGCAUACGGUCCAACGGCAGGUUGGUGUGCUUGCUUAUUUCGCCAGAACAAGGAAAUUAAGGGUUAAAAUAAGCCAUAAGACAUGAGAACUAAAAACAAACAGGCCUGGAAGGAAUGAAGAAACCUUCCUAUUCUCCUCAUUUCGUAGAAAGGAGUGCAUAAUUUGCAAAAAUUUAGUAAAAGAACCAAACAGAAAAUAAAAGAAAAGGCAGCCAGUCAUUCUUUGCCUCACCGUCAUUGCAAUGUGUGGUAUGAUCGAUCUGGGCAAAGACUUGCUGCAUCAUUAUUUUCAUCAAACACACAACGACCACCACUUAAUUGGCACUCAAUGCAGUUAAUACCAGUCCAUCGAAGACUAAAUCCAUUCUUCAGUAACUGUAUGUAGUCCAUAGUCUCCACUGUUUGAUUAUACUGCCUUCCCUCCAAAUCCACCGGUGCGCCGACGUACCUCUCACGGGCCAUCUCUUCAACCAGUUUUUCAGAGUUUCAAUUCAUAUACCCAGUGUUCAAAAGAGCAACAGAAUAAUUUGUGGCAGUGGAAGCACAAGUUACUGGAGAAUGUGCGUAAAUAAGAGGUACUCGUUUUGUGCAAUUAUAAAAUAAAAGGAAAUAAGAUCAACAAACUUGGUGGUGAAUUCAAUGGAAGAAAAAUCAAACACAAAACAAUGUUAAGGGGCAACACAGGAGGUGUUAACCACUUCCUUGUUGACCAACCGAAAUGAUUGGGUCUCAUAAGAGAUAUCUUCAAUGAAGUAAUUUCUGGAUGUUCUAAAGAGAGGCUUAUUUUCUUCACAAAAAAUUCCAAAGCCUGGGUGACCACAGAAGUCUAUUUCAGUGUCAUAGAUAUAAAACGGGUAGCUUAUGUUUGGGCCACUCCCACAGUUCUUAGGCUUGCAAGGUCCAUACUUGUGGUCAACCAGUGCAUAUGACUCCGCAGCCAAGGGGCAAACGAGGAUACUGAUCCCAACAUAGAACAAGUAGUGUGGACACAUUUGGAUGGACAUUGUUGGAGAAAAAGGGAACCCAGACUGACAUUGGGUGUUUAAUUUGACUGGAUUUGCAAUGCUUCUUCUAGACUUCAAAUAUUCCACAGCAUCUACCGGCCAUAAACCCUCUCUUUUCAAAGAGGAUUUACAAUAUGUAUUAUACUGCAAACUAAAUAUGUAAAAUACAAGAUGUCUUCGUCCGGAAAAGCCCUUCCUUAGUUGGACUGCAAACAUUAGGCUCUUAUGUAACUUGUACUCUUCCGAAACAACAAACAAUAAUGACAAAAACUAUGGAAUUUAUAUAUGACUCGAAAUUUCUUGGGAGGACUGUGGAGGAGAAGGGUCCAAGUAGAAGUUUCCAUAACUCAUUGCAUGCCUUUGAGUUGCAGAACUGACUUUUGGUCAAGGUCUUCCCCUGCCUAGCUGGUUAUGAGAAAAUACACCCCCUUUUAGGUUAAUGGAUGGAUUUGGACUUUGGCCCUGGGAUGGAAAUAUCGUGAUUCUUUUUUUUAAUUUAAUUAUUAACACUUAAAAUUAAGGAGGGCGUUUCUAGAUUUCAACAAAAUGCUCUUACUCCUUGUGGGAGUUUUGGGCUAAGCACCAUGUUCUAUGGGCUGCAUAAUUGGGCCCAUAGAAGAAAUAGGCCCAUCCUAAGAACUUGGUCAAGAUGUUUGGCCCACAGGAAACAUGUCCAAGCACGAUGAAGCAAGGUGGGAAUUAACCGCCCUUCAGAAAUGAGCCUGGGGAGGAUCGUGUGAAAAAUAGAACGUGGGAAGGUUUUUCCAUUCAGAUUAAAGAGCUAUAAAAAAGGUGGAAGUAAGAAGAGAAAAACGUAAGAGGUAUAUAGGGAAAAAAGGAUUCAUUGGUAUUUUCUUUGAAAAAGUAUGGAAUUGACUUUAUCAUCUAAGGGUCUCCCUGGGAAUCUCCCAGGUGAACCUUGUAUUGCAGGACCUAUUUUAUUCUGAUCGUGCUCCCAGGCUCUUUACAUUCCAAAUCACAGUUUCUUUUUAAAUAUUACACCAACGAAUAGAAUCAUCGCCCUGGGUCCCUACGACCAUCAUCUCAUGCCAACUUGAGCAUGAUAAACAUAUAACAGUACAAAUGCAAAAUAAUUUUCAAGAUUUUCGUGAGAGGUUUGGUAUUCAAUAAUUGCGUUACUAAAUCACAUUCUUCAAAUCAUUUUACUAGGACAAUCAUUAAUUUUUGUUCAAAAUUUACUAACUUCUAAUAUUAAUUUUUUUCUUUUCGAGUAAGACAACUUAUAUUUGAUAGUGAGAUUAAGACAAUCUUUCAAUUAACAGUGUUUAAUUAACAAAAUUUAACCGUAAAUUAACUCAAGUCUAUGAUAUCUCCCUAACAAAAAAAUGGUUUAGUAAAUAUUUUAAUUGAAUAAUAACGUUAAGACUAAUUGAAUGAUCAUAUGAUAAGGUUGCAUAUAAUACUUCCUUAUGCAUGGGAAUAUGUUUUAGUCCCAGAAUGCUUAGCUUUAUUUUAGUGUAUAUAGGUUAUUAAAAAUAUCCACAUGAACUUCACAACUAGUAUAAAAUUUUGAAUCAUUGUUUUAGUUAUUAAAUUGAUCAUAAGAUUUAAGGUAAUUGUUUCCAAUGUUGUGUUAGUUGUAAGCCAUUUUCUACAUCUUAUAAUAUUUUAAAAUUAGGGUAUUUGUUUUAACAAUUUUAAUUAUUCAUACUCAAUGCUUCACAAAUCCUAAGUGGAGAGAGGGUGAGGGUAAGGAUAAGGAUAUAAAGGAAAAGUUCAUACCCAUAAACAAAUCUUUCCUAUGGUAUGAUUCAUAUUAGGCAUGAGACUGUUCCCAAAAAAGCCCUCAACACCUUGAGUGAUAUAGAAAGAGUAGUAGAAAACAAAGUAGAAAACAUGUUGGAUAACUUGGAUAUCCUUAACUAGUAAACUCCCUCAAGGUGGAAGCAAUGAUCAAGACACUAGAGAAAAAAUGAUAGACAUUUGUGGAGGUAUGAUCAAGACACUAGAGAAUAAAUGGCGAAUAUUUGUGGAGGUAGCAUCAACAAGUGGCCAAUAUAUCUAGUGAUAAAUACUAGUGCCACCUACAACUUUUUCAUCAUGGAAGAGGUAAAACAAUAAAGGUGAGAUUGUUAACUUAGAGGCAUGCCUUUAAAUGAUAUAGUUCAAUCAAUAGAGCAUCCAUGAAAGUAUGUGUAAUAAUCCAUUCACUCUCAUACAAAUAUUGUUUAUUCUAAGUCCAACAAGAUCUCUUAACUUUAAAGCAUGUCUACAUAGUUAAGAGGAAUUAUAAUGACAAAAACUUUUUUUCCUAACUAAUGCAAGAUAUCACAAUUACUUCUCUUAUAGACAUAACGUCCUCAUUGUAUCUCAUAGGAUUAUGAGAUCAAAUAAAAAGAUGUCCCUUGGGGGGCUAAACAAACACUUACACUGAUAUUAUGAAUUAACUUUGAGAUCAUUUGUAACAAUAUGCUCUCCCUCACAUUGAUAUUGUCUACUCUAGACCCAAAGGGGCAUCUUGCUAUUUGAUCUCACAAUCUUGUGGGACACAACGCGACAUUAUAUCUACAAAGGGGAUGAUUGUAAUAUCCUACAUUGGAUGAGGAAAUUUUUUUUGACAUUAUAUAUGUAUAAAUUUUUCUAAAUCAUGUAGACAUAUUUUAAAGUCGAGAUUAUAUUCUUUUUGUUGUUUCACUUCAUAUUAUUUAUAUAUUUUAAAAAAAUAUGAACUUAAAUAUUUUGUGUUAUUAAAAAAUUGUUUUUAAAAUUUAAAGUAAUAUAAAUUCCUUUGUACUUUUAACUUGUAGGAUAAAUGUCACUAUAUUUUAUAUAAAAAUUAUUGUUAUUAUUAUUUUAAGUAAAGAAAACAUAUCCAAACAUCAUCUAAAUAAUAAGAAAUGAUCUAACAACUAGUUUUUUAAAUAAGAUCAAUGAUUUCGUAUUCUAAUCAUAGUCACAAGAGAGACCAAAACUAGCAAAAUCAAAACUAGGUUAUCAAUGACAACUUUUUAACUUUGUACAUUCCCUUCAGACCUUAAAUCCAGUAGACAAUGGAUCUAAGGUUUAUCUUUGGUAUAUGGACAACAAAACAAAGAUACGUAAAUGAGAAAGAACAUUAACCCUUUCAUUUACAUCUGGUUAUAUGUUUCACAUAUUUUUAGCAUAUUCUUUGAAAAAUAAGCAAAAUACAAGGGAAAGUUAAGCAUUGGUGCUUGGUGUAGUAGACCUACUGUCCCAUUGAGCAGUCACUACAUCUAGUGAUGGCAUCAGCUAGACACUUUUUAACAACCCCACUUUAUCACAAUCCGGUGAAGAUGGCGGCUUACUCAUCGACGAUCCAACACUAUCGACUAUUGUGUCCAUGUUCUCCAAUUCAUGCUUGUCACUCUCAAUUUCCUUCAAAAUCUCCAAAACUUCAUCCAUGAAGGACUCAUUUACUUAUCAGGUUGCAACAUGUUUUGCUUUUAGCGAGAGAAACAUAGGUAGUGGCCUACAAAGGCUUCUGAGACGUCUCGAAAAGUGUUCACGAAAUUUUGCGAGAAGCAAUGGAACCAGGAGAGAGCUUAACCAUGUAGCCUGGCCAAAAAAACCUUACAUAUCAGUGCACCAUUCCCUAUGUCGAGGGUUAUGAGCUAUCUGAAAUGCUUGAUGUGGUCAAACGGGUCGCUCGUUCCAUCAUAUAUUGUGAACUUGGGCACUACGAACCCUCUGGGCAACUCGUAGUUAAUGAUAUGGGGAUCGAAAGACGUGAAAAACAUGUCAUCCAACCGUCAGUUGAUAGAGUCAAGUGGGGCUCGAGUUGCCAAUACUUUCGCCUACUGCUGCCUUGGUAGUUGAGAAGAUCAUUCAGAUGUAGUUGCUAGGAUUGGCUGACCUAGACGUGCCCUUAGUGUUUCUAACAUACAUGGUUGCUCCUUCAUGCCUGUGCUUGAAGUCAUAGUUGGGCUCGCAUCGCGUCAGAUAAAUGUGACAUUCUGCUACACCUCAUUUUCCUUGAUGCCCGAGUGGAGUUAGUGUUUUCGUCCAACUAUGUUUGACGAGUUGGCGAAUGCUACUCCUCAAAUCGUCUCGAGCAGUUACCAGAUGAGAAAUCUGUGCCCCAGAGGAAAGAUACCUCAACAAUUCAUCUUAAGGUUGUUUGUCAGCUUUGAGUGUGCCGACUUUGAGAGGGGCCCACUGUUGACAUUUGAGUCUGCAAUUCUUCGUUCUCUUCUCUUAGUCGUUUCAUUUGGAGGAGUAGAGUUUGCAUCUGCCGUUCAUUUUCUCAUUGGCAUCUCUCCAUCUUUUCACACCAGACAAAAUAGUAUUCGUCACCCAUAACUAAUAAUGGGUUUCUUGAGGGUGUUGAUAUCUUUAGUCGGUUUCCACAAAUGACGCCAAUGUUGGUCUUGUGCCAACUGAAUACAGGUCUGUCUAGCUUCACUAAAGUCAGAUGAACUUCUUCCCUACACAAAAUUAUGUCUGAACAAGUGGUCCGGGUACGCCCCUUCAAAGCUUAAGUCACAAUCUAGCAAAAGUGAAUUCAACUAUUUUGAAUGGCUAUGUGUGAGUGUCCUUUUUUCAUGCUUCUCGAGGGGUUUUUAUAAAACAUAUGGCACCAUCUUCACAACGUUGAUUGUGCAUUCAUGUCUUUCUUGUACUAAUGAUCGCCAUCGUGGAGAAUGCUAAGCCUUAAUAAGGUAAUCAACGUCAUCAUCUCAAUGUGGACUAGGCAAUCAUACCAAACAAGAGCUGCUAAUUGGUGUCAUUUGUUGGCUGUCAUGUAAGAAUCUCGGACCAUAUCGCUGACUAUGCAUUUACGUUUAUCAAUGUUGCUGAUUGCAUGUAACGACUGAUUGACAUUGAUUUUUGGGUGUAAAUGACAUUUAAAUUGUCGCUCAGGCAUUGAGUGUGAUUAAUCAUCUGUCUAAUGCUUGAAAUUUUCGACUGGGUUGGUUUGUCUAUCUGGAAGCCCCGAUCGACAUUCCAUAUGGCAUUGGGGAAAAAAGAAAUUUAUCUUUCCUCUUGUGCUAGACAGAGCUUAUCUUGGUUCAGACGGAUUGAUACUAGAUGGAUUAUCUACUUACCUUAGACGACCAAAGGGUCUUGAGCUUAAGAAAGACACGUGAAGUGAAGCUUUCCACACUCUCCACUAUUUGAUUAUAUUACCUUCUCUCCCAAUCCAUCGGUGCACCCACGUACCUCUCACAAGCCAUAAUUUCAAGCAUUUUUUUCAAAGUUCCAAUUCAUAUACCUAGUGUUCAAAACAGCAACAGAAUAAUUUGUGGUAGUGGAAACACAAGUUAUUGGAGAAUGUGCGUAAAUUAGAGGUAUUCCUUCUAUGCAAUUAUAAAAUAAAAUAAGAUCAACAAACUUGAUGGUACAUUGAAUGGAAGAAAAAUCAAACACAAAAAAAAUUGUUGAAGGGCAACGCAUGAGGUGUUAACCAUUUCCAGCUUGUUGACUAACCAAAGUGAUUGGGUCUCAUAAGAGAUAUCUUUAAUGAAAUAAUCACUUCUGAAUGUCCAAAAGAGAGGCUUAUUUUCUUCACAAAAAAUUCCAAAGCCUGGGUAGCCAAAGAAGUAUGUUUCGGUGUCAUAGAUACAAAAUGGGUAGCUAUGAAAAAGUUGUAGGUAGCACCGAAUAUAUUAGCAAACUGUUGAUGCUACCUCCACAAAUUUCCAUCAUUUAUUCUCUAGUGUCUUGAUCAAUAUUUCUCUCUUGAGGAAGUUAAGGAUAUCCAAGUAAUCUAAGACAGUCAAGGUGGCCAAUAUAUCUAGGGAUAAAUUCAAAGUUCAAAGACAACUAUAUAGUCAAGGUGGAUCGAGGUUGAUAACUUAGAGGCACGCCUUUGAAUGAUAUAGUUCAGCCAGUAGAGUCAUCCGUGAAAGUAUGUGGAAUGAUCAAUUCAUUCUCACGUAAAUAUUGUCUAUUCUAAGCCCAUUAAGGUCCCAUAGUUUUAAAGUGCGUCAAACAUGAUUAAGAGAAAUAUAUAUAUAAUGACAUGAACUUUUUUCCUAACUUAUGUGAGAUAUCACAAUCACCUUCUUUCAAACAUAACAUCUUUGACAUAAUUGUGAGGUCAAACAAAUGGAUAUCCAUUGCAUAGGUAAACAAACUUACACACUGAGGUUAUGAGUGCAACUUUAAUACUAUUUGUAAUAGUUUGUUCCCUUUUACAUAAAUAUUAUCCACUCUAAACCCAAAAGGGUAUCUCGCUAUUUGAUCCAACAAUCUUAUGAGACACAAUGGAACGUCAUAUUUGCAGAGGGAAUGAUUUUAAUAACUCACACGGGGAAAAAGUUUCUAAUUUUAUAUAUGUAUAAACUCUUCUAAACCAUAUAUAUGAAUUUUAAAGUUGUGGUUAUAUUUUUUUUGUUGUUUCACUUCAUAUUAUUUAUUUAUUUAAAAAACAUAAAAAUCAUUUUUGAAAUUUAAGGUAAUAUAAAUUUCUUAGUACUUUAACUUGUAAGAUAAGUGUCACUAUAUUUUAUAUAAAAAUUAUUGUUAUUAUUAUUUUAAGUUAAAAAAAAAAAAGACAUAUCCAAACAUCAUCUAAAUUAUAAGAAAGGAUCUAAAAACUAAAUUUUUAAUUAUAUAACAAGAUAGAUGAUUCCGUAUUCUAAUCACAAUCACAAGAGAGACCAAAACUAGCAAAAUCAAAACUGGGCAUAUCAAUGGCACCUUCUUCAACCUUGUCAUUCCCGUCGGACCUUAAAUCCAGCAGACAAUGAAUCUGAGAUUCAUCUCUGCUACAUGGACAACAAAACAAAGAUAUGAAGAUGAGAAAGAACAUUAACCCUUUCAUUUACAUCUGGUUACAUGUUUCACAUAUUUUUAGCAUCUCCUGCGAAAAAAAGGCAAAAUACAAGGAAAAGUUAAGCACUGGCGCUUGGUGUAGUAGACCUACUGGGCCAUUGAGCGGUCACAGUAUCUAGUGAUGGCAUCAGCUGGACACUUUUCAACAACCCCACUUCAUCACAAUCUGGUGAAGGUGGAAGCGGUGGCUCAUGCAUCGACGAUCCAACACUGUCGGUUGCUAUGUCCAUGUUCUCCGAUUCAUGCUUGUCACUCUCAAUUUCCUUCAAAAUCUCCAAGACUUCAUCCAUGGAAGGCCUCAUUUCCUUAUCAGGUUGCAGACAGCGAAAGGCCAAUUCUGCCACCAGAGUAGUCAUCCUAUUAACCGCAAGAUCUGAAUCAAAUCCAAGACGUGGGUCUAUCAGCUCGUGAAAUGCGCAUUUUUGUAUCUUGUUUAUAGCGUAGUUAGACAAAUUGAUCUCAUGCCUAUGCCUAUUAAUGUCUACAGCAGGCAGUGAUGAUAUGAGCUCAAUAAGGACAACCCCAAAGCUGUAAACAUCGCUCUUAUCUGUAAGCUGGUAACAUUGGUGAUAUUCUGGAUCAACAUAGCCGGGAGUCCCUUGUGGAGCGGUUGAGACAUGGGUAACAUCGGUCGGGAAGAGUCGUGAAAGCCCGAAAUCUGCGACUUUAACACAGAAACUAUCGUCCAGGAGAAUGUUCUUAGUUUUCACGUCCCGGUGUACAACAUCAGAAGCAUGGAGAUAACAUAAUGCAGUGGCAGUUUCUAUGGCAAUACUCAAUCGGAUAGGCCAUGUGAGUAAGCCUGAAUCUGCUCGAUCCCCGUGGAGAUGAUCAGCGACUGUGCCAUUGGGAAUAAAUUCGUAAACCAGAAGGAGUUCACGGCUGUGGCGUGAGGUGCAGCCGUAAAGGGAGACAAGAUUCCGGUGGCGCAAACGAGUGAGGAUUUGAACUUCAUUCAUGAACUGUUCAACCCGCCUGUGAUUGUUCUCGUAUAGGCGCUUGACAGCAACCUCUCGCCCAUCUCGCAGUUGUCCUAUUUGACAAAGAUCAAAGAAUAGCCUCUUUAAAAGGGUGACAAAUUUGUCGUUUAAGAGUUUUUUUUUUUUUUUGCUAAGCAUUUUCCUAGUGAUUAGGUGAAGUAUUAACAGAAUCACAGUUGUCCAUCACCUUACCAUGGUAUACAGUUCCAAAACCUCCAUCUCCAAUUUCUCUAUCAGGGUCAAAAUAAUUAGUGGCUUCUUCAAGUUCAGUGUAGGGAAAAAUGGGGAUGCCAAAAUACGCCCCCGUUAUUUCCAACUCUGAUUUUGAAGAGGGAUCUGAACAAGUGUUUCUUGAGAGGAAAGUUGGAGCGUACUUCCUCUUAUGGCUCUGCCAGAUGAUAAAGAAACAAAUUAUUAAGAUGGUAAUGCUUCCGGCACUGAUACCUGCAGUGGGCAAAAAAGGCUGGUCAAACUUGAUGUCAACUACAUUAAUGCUAAAAGAGUUUUUCACUACAGACAUAAGGAAGAUGAUGUAUAAAGAUCUUAGUGGAAAUCACUUCUGUAUUGUUUAACCACAAAGAAGAUGGUGAGAAAUUGAAAUUUGAUCAUUACUGAAAUCCCCAAUUAAAGAAAAAAUUCCUUAUAGUUGACAGAUAAACUCAUUUUAAAUGCUAUAAAGUGCAAUAGAUUAAGGCUUAAUUGGAUUCAGUUGGUGUCCAAACACAUGCAGAGAACAAAUAUUUUUUAUCUACAAGAACAUUGCUAAAGAAGUAUAUUACCUAAUCCUAGGGCUAGCUUCAGUCGCUUGUCAUUCCCUGCAAGACAAGUAACAAAUAGCAACAAUGUUAGUUUAAACAGUAAACAUUGUAUUAAUCUACAUCAUAUUGGUAUUCUCCAGAACAUUAAAGAGUACACUCAUAAAAAGAAGAGUCAAAGCCUGCUUCUGCAAAUCUAAUAUAGAUUACAUUGCACAAACAUCAAUUUUCUCAUACCAGAGCCCUACAGUUAGAAGAGAGGAAUUCAUGCUACAUACCUAGCAGCGGGUUAUGUACUUAAAUGCAAACGAGGAAAAUAAAAGGGCAAAAAAAUGAAAAAGAACAGAGGAAAGGAAUAAGAAAAGAGAUUGUUAUAUAUGUUGUGCACCUGUAUGUGCACACCGGAAUUUUCCCUCGUCAUCUCGACAUUGGCCUCCACUAGAGUGACACUUCCGACAUUCACGGGACAGAUGCACUUCAAGAGUGAUAUCAGAAGUCAACAGGGCAACCAGGUUGUCCAUUCCUAAACUCAUGUUUAUUGGAUACUGAAUAAUAGAACAGUCCAGUGGAGCUGGAGGUGGAAGAGUGGGAGUAUGGUUUGGUUGAUUAUGAGGUAGAGGUGGAGGAAUGGAAGUAUGAUUUGGAUGAUUAUAGUGGAUGAUGUAGUCUUGACAAUCGGUAUAAUUAUGAUCUGUAGUAAGAUCAAUAUUGAGAUUACGGUGGCAUUUGAACAGGGUUAGUUCGGCUAGAGGGGGUACUGGUUUGAAAGAAACAGAAGGAGAACGGAAACGAGUUAAGUUAUCAAUGAAUUCACAUAUGCCGCGUUGCAAGUUCUCUUGAAGCCGCUUAUCUUGAAUUACUAUGGUAUCAGCCUGAGAGAUGUUUUUCACCCCAAAAUAUCUUCCUUCCCUUUCCAGUUGGAUCCGUGGAAGCCCUUCAGUACAUCUUGUUACUGUGCAAAAACCGCAUUCUGGGUUUGUUUCGUUGUUGAAGGGAAAGUGAAGCCAGCCCAGUUUUUCACAGUGAAAGGGUGGACAAGUUGGAGGCUGUUUCCUUUCUUCUUCAGCAGAGGAAAGAAGCACAGAAUGAGAGAGAAGAAAUAGAACAAGAAAAGAAACAGAACCCAUGCGAAAUCCCCAAUUCAACAACAAAAGCAUUGGCACCAUACAGACAGAAACAAGGUAAUCCUCCUCUCCCUCCAUACCGACAGAUACAAGGUAAUCCUCCUCUCCCUUUAUUUAAACAAUGUUUUCUCUCUUUUAUCUGCUUAGCACGGCAGUUGACUUGGAAAUAAGAGACAAGAAGACUUGGGAAAGAGAAUUUCUACAGGAUGGGCAAGAGUCUCUGGUAGGUGAAAUAGGCCAUUGUUUUCCUUUGGCCGACCAAUAGACACCCCAGAAAGGGAGUUUCCAACUCACCUUCUCCUUUGCUUAGAAUGACUUGACUUCAUACAGCGCUUAAUGUUCAAAAUCACGACAGUAUUUAACAAAGUAAAGGCAUAAAAAAAUAUUGGUCCUGUGGAGAAAAAGUAGGAGACUAGGUAAAGGAAAAAGAGAAGACAUGGGUUUUUUUUAGUUUCUACAAGUUUCAAGAAAAAUUCUUAAAAAAUGGUAAUUAAAAAAUUUAUAGUACUCUUUACCACGUCAAAGGUGUAAAGACAGCUUUACAAUUUUCAAAUCCGCUUAGAAAAACUGAAUUUAAAUUAAAGGUGACCAUUUACAGUUUCAAAAAAAUGAAUUUAUAUUGAAGUGUUUUUUGAAGAAAUUUUUUAUAAUUUUAAAAAAUUCAAUAUAUAAUAAAGAUGUCUCUUUAAAAAACAACUUUUAUAAUUUUUAAAUUCAUAAUAUACACUUAAAAUAUUUUAAUUUAAACUAAAGGUGUUUAGACAGCUUUUAUAAUUCUAAAAAUUUGGAUUUAUAUUUAAAUUCUUAGAUACUUUCCACAAUUUCAUAAAAUUCAAUAUAUAUUAAAAGUGUCUCUUGAAAAGAUAUUUUUUUAUUAUUAUAAAUUCAAUUUUUUUUUUUUUAGAAUUUUGAAAGGUAUCUCGAGUAAACACUUUCCAACCUAGUAAAAAGUGUCAUAGAUUUGAAAAUAUUUUCCAAUAUGCUGCAUUUUAAAAAAUUAAUUUUAUAUUCCUAAUAUUUUGAUCUAAAAUCUGUCCCUAGAUAUCAGGGAACCUUUUCCUAGGGCAAGGGUAGGUGCAUGUGGUUUUUUUUUUUUUUAAAAAAAAAAAAAUCUUAAAAAAUGGUAGUUACAAAAAUAUUGACAAAUUUAUGACAUUUUUUACCACGUCAAAAGGUGUCUCUUUAAAAGACAUUUUCCACAAUUUUUAUAUCAAUGAUAUACAUUAUAAAAAAGUGAAUUUAAAUUAAAGUUGUCUUUUGAAUUAACAUCUUUUACAAUUCCUAAGUGAAUUAAAUUUAUAUUAAAGGUAUCUUUUCAAGAGACACUUUUUCACAAUUUUUUUUAUCAAUCCAUUAAAAAAUUGAAUUUAUAUUAAAGGUGUAUUUUGAAAAGACACCUUCAAGAAUUUCACACAAUUGAAUUUAUACUAAAUGUCUUUUCAAAAGACAUCUUUCACAAUUUUCAUAUCCAUCACACAAUAAAAAUAUGUAUAUUAAAUGUGUCUUUUUAAGAAACACUUUUAAUAUAAAUUUGAUUUUAUUGAAUUAUAAAAAUGUCUUUUGAAAAAAUACUUUUAAUAUAAAUUUAAUUUUUUUGGAAAUGUGAAAUGUGUCUCUUGAAAAAACACAUUUAGUUUAAAUUCAAUUUUUUUAAAGUGUACCAUAGAUAUGAUAAUUGUGAAAAUUGUAUCUUCAAGAGAUAUCUUUAAUUUAAAUUUAAUUUUUUUUUAAACUUAUAUCAUUGAUAUAAAAAUUGUGGAAAAUGUCUCUUCAAAAUACAUUUUUUGACAUAACAAAAAGUAUGUAGAUUUGGAAAUAUUUUCCAACGUACUGCAUUUUUUAAAUUUAAUUUUAAAUCUACCAUACUUUCAUAAAAAAGGAAAAAUUGUGUUUUGGAUUAAGUUGAGCCCAAAAAUUAAUAUUUAGCCCAUAAAAGUUGCAUAAUUGAUGAGAAUGAUAUAAAUUGUGAAGAGACCAAUAUACCCUUUAAAACUAUUUUGAGUAUUUUCUAUCACAAUGUUUAACAAACUUUUUUAUCUUAAUUUUUUUUAAUAAUUAUUCUAAAAAUUUAUUAUUUUUAGAAAACUAUUUUUUUUAAAAAAAAUAUAUUCUAAAAAUAUAUCAUUUAAAAAAAAUAAUUUUGACAUAUUUUUAGUUAUUUUUUAUAUACACAAUUUUAAAUAUAUAUAUUUUUCAAGAUGUUUGAUUUUUAAAUAAUAAUAAUAAUAAUAAAUAAAUUUUUUUUUUUGGAAAAUGAUGUAUUUUUUUCCAAAUCACUAAAUUAAAUUAAAUUUUAUUGAGGUUUACAAAAGGAAUAAAAUUUAAAUUAAUGUUUUUCUACUCUUUUUUUUCACAGUCAAUAAAGGUUAUUUUUGGAAAGAUAAAAAAUUCAUAUCCUUCUUCUCAAUUUUCACAUUUUUUUUAGGUUUUGGGUUUAAAUGGUGUACUUAUGAGGAUCAAAGCUUAAUUUUUGGGUCCAACUAAGUGCAAAACACAAUUAUCCCUAUAAAAAAUCCUUGGUGUGAAAGGAAUACCAGUCUUCUUAUGUUUGACACUCUGGCUAAGCAUUUCCUUAAUUUCAGGGAUUCACACCUCACUGUUCUAUGGAUCAAAAUAAAGCUCAAUAAUACCAUACGGUCCAACAUUAGGUUGGUCCGCUUGCUUAUUUCCCCAGAACAAGGAAAUGGUUAAAAUAAGGCAUAAGACACGAAAACUAAAAAGAAACCAGUCUGGAAAGAAUGAAGAAACCUUCUUGUUCUCCUCAUUUCCUAGAAAGCAGUGCAUAAUUUGCAAAAAUUUAGUAAAAGAACCAAACAGAAAAUAAAAGUUAGAAAAAGUAGUCAGUUAUUCUUUGCCUCGCUAUCAUUGCAAUGUGUGGUAUGAGGUCGAUCAGGGCAAAAACAUAUCGCAUCAUUAUUUUCAUCAAACCCGCAAUGACCACCGCUUAGUUGGCACUCAACGUAGUUAAUACUGUUGAGGAGAAGAAAAAUGGUAUUCUUCUAUGUAUAAAAGAUACAACAGAUGAGGGUUAUAUAUAAUUUUGUACAUGAAGUUAAUUUGGAAGAAACUAAUCGCACUAAUCUAGGCUACAAUCUUGGAUGAUUUACAAUCAAAUAAAACUAACUUGGUAACUAGAAUAUUUUUAUUUCUGUAAUUGCUCCUUCAACAACUCACGUCAAUACUCCCCCUCAAGUUGAUGCAUAGAUAUCAUCAAUGCCCAAUUUGUCAAGCGAGUUGUGAAAUAUUUUGCUAGAGACAACCUUUGUAAGAAUAUCUGCUAGUUGAUCUUCUGACUUCACAAAAGGAAACUGAAUGACCUUGUCUUCGAGCUUCUGCUUGAUAAAAUGCCGAUCCACUUCAACAUGUUUGGUGCGGUCAUGUUGAACUGGGUUGUGCGCAAUUGCUAUGGCUGCCUUAUUAUCACAAAACAGGUUCAUUGUAUCCUGAGAUGAACACUCAAUUUCCUCUAAUAAUCUUUUUAACCAAAGUAGCUUACACAAUCCUUUAGUCAUGCCUCUAAACUCAACCUCUGCACUAAAUAAAGCAACUACCUUCUGUUUUUUACUCCUUCAAGUGACCAGAUUGCCUUCCACAAAUGUGAAGUAGCCCGAUGUAGAUUUUCUGUCAGUAAUGUUCCCUGCCCAGUCUGCGUCCAUAUAGCCGUCAAUGUGCAGAUGUUGGCUUUUCGUGAACAUCAAUCCUCUUCCUGGAGAAGACUUCAAGUACCGUAAAAUACGAACCACUGCACUCAUAUGAUCUUUGCUAGGACAAUGCAUGAAUUGACUCACCAAGCUCACCGCAUAAGCAAUAUCAGGCUGUGUAUGAGAUAAGUAUAUCAGCUUUCCCACAAGGCGUUGAUACCUUUCUUUAUUGGUAAGGGUCUGGUUAGGAAAUUCUCCCAAGCCAUGGUUUUGAACAAUUGGUGUAUCAGCAGGUCUACAAUCAAGCAUUCCUGUUUCAGACAACAAGUCAAGUACGUACUUUCAUUGGGAUAGAAAUAUGCCUCAUUUUGAUCGAGUUACUUCAAUCCCCAAAAAAUACUUCAACCCUCCAAGAUUUUUCAUCUCAAAUUUAGUUGCUAAAUGUUCUUGUAAUUUAGAGAUUUCUUCCUCGUCAUUUCCUAUAAUUAUCAUAUCAUCAACAUAGAUUAUUAGAGUCGUUACCUUCCCUCGUUGGUGCUUCAAGAAGAGAGUAUGAUCUGAAUUACUUUGCUUGAAACCGUGUUUUCUCAUGGCAAGGCUAAAUUGUCCAAACCAUGCUCUAGGAGACUGUUUCAAUCUGUAAAAAGUCUUUUGUAACUUGCAAACUACCUUCCCCUGUGUCGAAGAAACAAAACCCUGUGGAAUGUCCAUGUACACCUCAUCUUCAAGAUCCCCAUGGAAAAAGACAUUUUUGACAUCAAAUUGGUGCAACGGCCAGUCCAAGUUUGCAGCAAGAGAGAUUAGUACUCUCACAGUAUUUAAUUUUACUAUAGGUGAUAAAGUUUCUUGAUAAUCUACCCCAUAUGUCUGAGUAUAUCCCUUCGCAAUGAGCCUUACUUUAUAUCUUUCAACUGAUCCAUCUGUUUUGUGUUUGAUAGAGAACACCCAUCGACAUCCCACAGUUUUCUUUCCCUCAGGCAAUGGCACAAGCGCCCAAGUAUCAUUUUUCUGUAAUGCUUUCAUCUAUUCCUCUAUCACUUGGAUCCAUUUGGUAUUAUUCAUGGCUUCACUCACUGUAUCAGGAACACCAUUUGUAGAUAAUUUAUGAACCAAUGCCUUGAGAGGUUCAGACAAUUUUUGAGUUGAGAUAUGGUUGGCAAUUGGGUACUUUGACUUGUUCGUUCCAUGAUCGGGUGAAUAGCGGUUUGGUGGUUACUUGCGGUUAUGCCUGAAAGGUAGUUUAUAGACAACAGAAAUAUUGUGAGGAGAGUUUAGAACUUAUACCUUAGGAAUAUUCUCAGGAGAUUGGUCUAAUUGUGGUACUGUCAAGUCAUGGAAGGGUUGUUCACUUUCAAUUUCCGUAACUUCUUCAUUUUGAUCUACUUUUGUUGGUUGUUGUUCGAUCUCUGCUUCGACAUGCUCGGCAUUUUCAACUUCUCCUCUUUGAUCUAUCAGUAUUGCCAUUGGUUCUCUUGGCUGAACUUCCCUUAUAUCAUUUGAAGUUUCUUCGAAACCUGGUCAAUUUUCCCAAUUUUGCUCUUCACUCAUCAUCUCCCCCUGAAGAGAGGAGCAGGAAGAUUGAGAAGUGAAGAAAUUCUCCGAUUUAAUAAAGGUGACAUCCAUGGUGGUCUAGAGUCGCCUUAUAGUUGGAUCGUAACAUCGGUAUCCUUUCUUGUGAGCUACAUAGCCAAGAAAAACACAACGGACAACACAUGGAUCAAGCUUUGUCCGUUGAUUCUUGUGUAUAUGAACAUAUGUAACACAACCAAACUUUCUUAGAGGAAGCAUUAGAACUGAUGGUAAUGUCAUAUGUUGUGCGAGAACUUGAAGAGGGGUUUUGUAGUGCAAAACUUGUGAUGGCAGUUGGUUCAUUAAGUAUACAGUAGUCAUUACUGCAUCUGGCCAAAAUCGUUUAAGGACAUAAGCAGCAGUCAAGAGAGCUCGAGUGAUUUCCAAGAUGUGUCUAUUCUUGCGCUCUGCAACACCGUUCUGUUGCGGUGUUUGAGAACAAGAUGCCUCAUGAUGCAAACCAUGUUCCUGAAAGUAUCUGUGAAAUUGUGCAUUAUCAUAUUCCCCACCAUUAUCAGAUCAAAGAAUUUGAAUUUUAGCAAAAAAUUGUGUUCGAAUCAUAUUAUGAAAUGAUCGAAAUAUUUCAAACACUUCAUGUUUAUUUUUCAUCACAUAAAGCCAAGUCAUUCGUGUACAAUCAUCGACAAAGGUUACAAACCAGCGAACACCAAAAGAAAUAGUAAUAGGAGUAGGACCCCAAAUGUCAGAAUGAACAAUAAAAAAAGGAGUGUCACAUUUAUUCAAACUAAUUGAAUAAGGUACCCAAUGACUCUUAGCUUGAAUACAAGCUUCACACUUAAAAUCUGAGUCAUUAAACUUCAUAAAUAAAUCUGGAAAUAAACAUCUCAAAUACUGAAAUAAGGGAUGCCCCAACUGAUUAUGCCAUAACCAAAUCUGUCUUUCCUUAACUCCAGUAGAAUGCAUAUUAUUUGCUCGAUCAUAACUGAAAUCAUCCAUGUAAUACAACCCUUCCCUUUUAGUACCACGACCAAUAAUCUCCUUGGUGAGAAUAUCCUGAAACAAACAGAAGUUAGGAUACAUUAAAGCACAACAAUUCAAUUCCUCAGUCACUUGUCCAAUAGAUAACAAUUUAUUGGAAAGUGAUGGAACUAGUAAGGUAUUUGGUAAUGAAAAAGAAGGAGAAAGAGCCACUGUUCCAACCCCUGUUACUAGAUAUGUUACUCCAUUAGCAUUGGUAAUGCAUAUUCGUUUUGGUUGGGUGGCUUUAGAGAAGUCACAAAGGUCAAAGGUCAUGUGGUCUAUUGCCCCAGAGUCAAUGAUCCAACCAUCAUGGUUCCCCGUUUUCAAGCAAGAAAAAACAUAACCUUGGUUACCUGAGUCAUUCUGAGCAAUCUGUUCACUAGUGGAGAUAGAAGAUUCUUGUUGUGGUACGAGAGAUAGUUGAGGCUCUACGCUCAUAAGAGCUGCACGACCAGGAUUGUCGCCUCCACUUGCUUCACAUUUUUUCUUUGCCUUGAGUUCAUGCCACCAAUCUGGAUAACCAUGUAGUUUGAAGCAUGUUUCUUUGGUGUGUUUUGUAUUCCCACAAUGUGUGCAACCUCCUCCUUCCCCUUGUGACUUUGGUUUUGUGGUUGUGUUAGGAUUUCCAUUUGAUGACGUUUGAAAAGAUAAUUGGUGUUGAGGUUUAUGUCCUCCUCUUGAAAGCAUAGCACCACCAGAUAUGGUAUCUUUAUUCAUCAUCAUUACGGAUUGCCUCAAAUCCUCUCUUCAAACUUGUGCAUAAGCUUGUUCCACUGUUGGGAAUGGUUGUAUCUGUAGCACAUCUGCUCGGAUCUUGUCAAGCCGAUCAUCAAGUUCGUCUAAGAAGGUGUAGACUCUAUCCUCCUGCAAAACAGAGUUAUAUUUUUGUAUAUCAAUAUCAUAUUCCAUAGGAUUUGAUCGACGAAAGUCGAUUUCUCUCCACAAGCCUUGCAGAUUAUUGUAGUAUGUCUUGAUAGAUCCUCCUUCUUGUUUGAGUCUGGUUACUCUUCUUUUGAGAUCAUAUACUUGUGAUGUAUCAGUGCCAUCAAAGUACGUAAUAACAAUAUUAUCCCAAACAGCCUUAGCCAUUGAGAAUCUGAUAAAGUUACUAACUAACUUUGGAUCCAUAGAAUUGAUUAGCCAUCCCUUCACCAUUGCGUUUUCAGUUCUCCAUUUUUUGAAUGCAGGAUCUGUUUGCAGAGGCUGUGGAAGAUCUCCAUUUAUGUAUCCCAACUUGUCUUUACCUGAGAUAUACAUCUCGACAAUUUGAGACCAUAGUGCAUAAUUGGUACCAUCUAACUUGAUUCCAAUCUGUGUAGUAGGUUCAUGACUUGUGAUCUGGUUCUGAGUUUGGUUGUGGUUUAGUACUUGUGUCAUUCUUGUCGUAAGAUCUGCGAGAAUUGAAUUCUCCCAUUCGUGUUUUUCCACCCCAGUAGGAGGUGUUUCCAUUUUCCUCUUUCUGUUUUUUUUUUUUUUUCAGAAAUUCUAUGGCCCUAGAAUCUCUGCUCUAAUACCAUGUUGAGGAGAAGAAAAAUCGUAUUUUUCUAUAUAUAAAAGAUACAACAGAUGAGGGUUAUAUAUAACCUGUACAUAAAGUUAAUUUGGAAGAAACUAAUCACACUAAUCUAGGCUACAAUCUUGGAUGAUUUACAAUCAAAUAAAACUAACUUGGUAACUAGAAUAUUUUUAUUUCUAUAAUUGCUCCUUCAACAACUCACGUCAAUAGAUACCAGUCCAUUCAAGACUAAAUCUAUUCUUCAGUAACUCUAUAUAGUCCAUACUCUCCACUGUUUGACUAUAUUGCCUUCUCUCCCAAUCCACCGGUGCACCCACGUAUCUCUCACAAGCCAUCUCUUCAAGCAUUUUUUCAAAGUUCCAAUUCAUAUACCCAGUGUUCAAAACAACAACAGAAUAAAUUGUGGCAGUGGAAGCACAAGUUACUGGAGAAUGUGCGUAAAUUAGAGGUAUUGCUUUUGUGCAAUUAUAAAAUAAAAUAAGAUCAGCAAACUUGAUGGUAAAUUGAAUGGAAGAAAAAUCAAACACAAAAAAAAAAAAAUGUUGAGGGGCAACGCAGGCGGUGUUAACCACUUCCAGCUUGUUGACUAACCGAAGUGAUUGGGUCUCACAAGAGAUAUCUUCAAUGAAGUAAUCACUUCUGAAUGUCCAAAAAAGAGGCUUAUUUUCUUCACAAAAAAUUCCAAAGCCUGGGUAGCCACAGAAGUCUGUUUCAGUGUCAUAGAUACAAAACGGGUAGCUAUGAAAAAGUUGUAGGUAGCACCGGAUAUAUUAGCCAACUAUUGAUGCUACCUCCACAAAUAUCCAUCAUUUAUUCUCUAGUGUCUUGGUCACUGCUUCCCUCUUGAGGGAGUUAAGGAUAUCCAAGUAAUCCAAGACAGUCAAGGUGGCAAUAUACAUGACGAUAAAUUAAAAGGUCAAAGACAAUUAUAUAGUCAAGGUGAAUCGAGGUUGAUAACUUAGAGGCACACCUUUGAAUGAUAUAGUUCAGCCAGUAAAGCCAUCCAUGAAAGUAUGCAGAAUGAUCAAUUCCCUAUCUCGUAAAUAUUGUCUAUUCUUAUAAGGUCCCAUAAUUUUAAAGUGCCUCAAACGUGAUUAAGAGAAAUUUAUAUAUAUAUAUAUAUAUAUAUAUAUAUAUAUAUAUAUGCAUGGAAGAAAAUAUCGGUAAUCACGGAUAUAUCGGUACUUCGAUUUUACGGAUAUAUCGAAUAUAUCGGAGAUAUAUCGGCGGAUAUUCUGGAAAAAAAUAUCAGUAGACUUAAAAUUGUUAAAAACUCAUGGAAAUGCAAGAAAAACCUCAUAAUAAUAUAAUUAGAAGUAUAAUUGACAUUUUAAAGUUGUUUUAUUGAAAAAUUUGAUAUAUAUAUAUGAUAUAAUUUGCGAUAAUAGAUGUAAUUACAUCAUGUCGAUCUAUAAGAAAUGUUAAUUUUGUAAUUGUUCUCAGUCACAUAAAAUAUUUUAUUUCAUUAAAUAUCAAUAAUUUGUACACAUUAAAUUCAUUAAAUAAACAUAUUUCAUAUUCAAAAUAUACUAUUUCAUGUUAAUUAAAUUAAUUAAAUAAUUUAGCAUGUUAAUUAAAUUAAUUAAAUAAUUUAGCUAAGUUAACUAGUUUAAUUUAAUUCUAAAUGUGAAAAUAAAUCACAAAUAAUCAUCUAAAAUAAACAUAUCAAUUUAUAAUUAAAUAAUCAAAUUAACCUAAGUUAAUUCAAUAAAAAUAUAAAAAUUAAUUACAAUUGAAUGUAAAAAUAACAUUAAAUCAUCCAUAUUGCAAACAUACUAAUUAAACAAUAUAAAAUAAAUAAUGAUAUAUAUAUAUAAUUUUUUAAUAUUUAAUUAAUUAUUAAUGAUAUUAAAAACAUUAUGAAGAAAAUUAUAUAAUUUUUAUAUUUUUGGUAAUUAAUUAAAAGACUUUGCAUUUAAUUAUAAAGUAAUUAUAAUUAAUUUGCUAUUUAAAAUAUUCUUAUAUUAUCUUUAUAUAAUGAAUUUAAGUAUAUAUAUAGUUGUUGCAUAUUAUGUAUCAAAGGGCAACUUAGCCCAGGUGGUAAGCGGAUGAACCCCAAACCUUUUGGUUUGGGGUUCAAAUCCUCUCAGCAGCAAGAAAAUGGAGCCACUGUAGCGCGUUGGCGGGCACUGUAGCGGGUCUGACCCGCGUUGACCACACGAUAAUCACCGAUAUAUCGCGAGAAAUCUGCGAUUUCUCACGAGAAAUACCAAAAUAUCGCCGGACCGAUAUUUCUUCAUGAAAUAUCAUGUCGAAACCCUUCGAUACACGAUAUUUUCCUCCAUGUAUAUAUGACAUGAACUUUUUUUUUCUAAUUUAUGGGAGAUAUCAUAAUUAUCUUCUUUCAAGCAUAACAUUGUUGUUGUAUCUCACAAAAUUAUGAGGUCAAACAAAUGAAUAUCACUUGCGUAGCUAAACAAACUUACACAUUGAGGUUUUGAAUCAAUUUUAAUACUAUUUGUAACACUUUGUUCCCUUUUACAUAAAUAUUAUCCACUUUAAGCUCAAAAGGGUACCUAGUUAUUUGAUUCAGUAAUCUUAUGAGACACAAUGCAACGUCAUAUUUAUAAAGAGGAUGAUUAUAAUAUCCUACCCUGGAUAGGGAAAAAAUUUCUAAUUUUAUAUAUGUAUAGACUCUUCUAAACAAUAUAGAAGAAUUUUAAAGUCGUAAUUAUAUUCUUUUUGUUGCUUCACUUCAUAUUAUUUAUAUAUUUAAAAAACAUAUGAACUUAAAUAUUUUGUGUUAUUAAAAAUUAUUUUUAAAAUUUAAGAUCGCCGGACCGAUAUUUCUUCAUGAAAUAUCAUGUCGAAACCCUUCGAUACACGAUAUUUUCCUCCAUGUAUAUAUGACAUGAACUUUUUUUUUCUAAUUUAUGGGAGAUAUCAUAAUUAUCUUCUUUCAAGCAUAACAUUGUUGUUGUAUCUCACAAAAUUAUGAGGUCAAACAAAUGAAUAUCACUUGCGUAGCUAAACAAACUUACACAUUGAGGUUUUGAAUCAAUUUUAAUACUAUUUGUAACACUUUGUUCCCUUUUACAUAAAUAUUAUCCACUUUAAGCUCAAAAGGGUACCUAGUUAUUUGAUUCAGUAAUCUUAUGAGACACAAUGCAACGUCAUAUUUAUAAAGAGGAUGAUUAUAAUAUCCUACCCUGGAUAGGGAAAAAAUUUCUAAUUUUAUAUAUGUAUAGACUCUUCUAAACAAUAUAGAAGAAUUUUAAAGUCGUAAUUAUAUUCUUUUUGUUGCUUCACUUCAUAUUAUUUAUAUAUUUAAAAAACAUAUGAACUUAAAUAUUUUGUGUUAUUAAAAAUUAUUUUUAAAAUUUAAGGUAAUAUAAAUUUCUUAGUACUUUAACUUGUGAUAUUUACUUGUAAGAUAAAUAUCACUAUAUUUUAUAUAAAAAUUAUUGUUAUUAUUAUUUUAAGUUAAAAAAAGGACAUAUCCAAACAUCAUCUAAAUUAUAAGAAAGGAUUUAAAAACUAAAUUUUUAAUUAUAUAACUAGAUCGAUGAUUCCGUAUUCUAAUCACAAUCACAAGAGAGAACAAAACUAGCAAAAUAAAAACUGGGCAUAUUAAUGGCAGCUUCUUUAAACCAUGUUUUCUCUCUUUUAUCUGCUUAGCACGGCAGUUGACUUGGAAAUAAGAUACAAGAAGACUUGGGAAAGAGACUUUCUAUAGGAUGGGCCAAGAGUCUCUGCUAGCCCAUGUGAAAGGAGUUUCCAACUCACCUUCUCCAUUGCUUAGAAAGACUUGACUUCGUACAGCGCUUAAUGUUCAAAAUCAUGACAGUAUUUAACAAAGUCACGAGGACAUAAAAAAAUAUCGGUCUUGUGGAGCAAAAGUAGGAGACGGGGUAAAGGGAAAAGAGAAGACAUGAUGGGUCAUAGAUUAAUGGGUACUUUGGUAGUCCCUCGAUAUCAGGGACCCUUUCCUUGGUCAAGGGUAGGUGCGUUGUGAGAGGAAUUCUAGUCUUCAUAUGUUUGACACUGGCUACGGCUUUUCCUUAGUUUCAGGGAUUCACACCGCCCUUUUCUAUGGAUCAAAAUAAAGCUAAAAGAUAGCAUACGGUCCAAUGUCAGGUUGGUCCGCUUGCUUAUUACCCCAGAACAAGGAAAGGGUUAAAAUAAGCCAUAAGACAUGAGAACUAAAACCAAACCAGCCUACAAGGAAUGAAGAAACCUUCCGGUUCUCCUCAUUUCGUAGAGCACAUAAUUUGCAAAAACUUAGUAAAAGAACCAGACAGAAAAUAAAAGUUAGAAAAGGCUAUCAGUCAUUCUUUGCCUCGCCAUCAUUGCAAUGUGUGGUAUGAGGUCGAUCAGGACAAAAACAUACGGCAUCAUUAUUUUCAUCAAAUCAGCAAGGACCACCACUUGAUUGACACUCAACGCAGUUAAUACCAGUCCAUUCAAGACUAAAUCCAUUCUUCAAUAACUCUAUGUAGUCCAUAGCCUCCACCGUUUGAUUAUACUGCCUUCCCUCCCAAUCCACUGGUGUGCGCACGUACCUCUCACAGGCCAUCUCGUCAGCCAUUUUUAUGGAGUUCCAAUUCUGAUACCCAGUGUUCAAAACGGCAACAGAAUAAUUUGUGGCAGUGGAAGCACAAGUGACUGGAGAAUGUGUUGGGCUUUGUGGAGCCUAGUUUUGUUUGAUCCGGUUUGGCGAUCCGACCCGAAUAAUAUUGCAUGACCUUUUUAAUGGGAGAUUUAUUGAGGCAUGUUGGGCCCGUUUAGCCCAUUGUGGAACCACCUUUUGUAAUUAGGGUUUUUUUUAGUAUGGUAGGGUUGUCGUGCUAUAUAUAUAUAGAGAAUAUUGUAGCCGCCUAGUUGUACUCUGUAUUCUUCCCUGAUAAUAGUGAUAUCCCUGCAACUCCGUGGACGUAAGCAAAUUGCCGAACCACGUAAAUACCGUCUUGUGCGUGUGAUUGUUUUUCUUUGGCGUGUGUUUUUUCUCUAAUUUUUGUUUCUCACGGGUUGGGAAUUCGGUUUAAUUCCCUACAACUGGUAUCAGAGCCUAGGGUUAGGUUUGAGUGGGAGCAAUGGCAGAGGAAGCAGGAAAGGCGUCUGGAAUAGAAAAGUUUGAUGGCACAGACUUUGCGUAUUGGAGGAUGCAGAUUGAAGAUUAUCUCUAUGGGAGGAAAUUACAUCUGCCUCUUUUGGGGACAAAACCUGAGAUUAUAAAGGCUGAGGAAUGGGCGCUUCUUGACAGACAGGUUCUAGGAGUUAUUAGGUUAACUCUGUCUAGGUCUGUUGCACACAAUGUUGUAAAGGAGAAGACCACAGCAGAUCUGAUGAAGGCUUUGUCCGGUAUGUAUGAAAAGCCGUCCGCAAACAAUAAGGUGCAUCUGAUGAAGAAAUUGUUCAAUUUGAAGAUGGCAGAGAAUGCAUCAGUAGCACAACAUCUGAAUGAAUUUAAUACAAUCACAAAUCAAUUGUCGUCUGUAGAAAUUGAUUUUGAUGAUGAGAUUCGUGCUCUGAUUGUCUUGGCUUCUUUGCCAAACAGUUGGGAGGCAAUGAGGAUGGCAGUAAGCAAUUCUACGGGAAAGGAAAAACUCAAGUACAAUGAUAUACGAGAUUUAAUUCUGGCUGAGGAGAUUCGCCGAAGAGAUGCAGGUGAAACCUCAGGAUCUGGUUCUGCCCUAAACCUUGAGACAAGAAGUAGAGGUAAUAACAGAAAUUCAAAUCAAGGUAGAUCAAAUUCCAGAAAUUCUAAUCGGAACAGAAGCAAAUCUAGAUCAGGCCAACAAGUACAAUGCUGGAAUUGUGGGAAAACAGGUCACUUUAAAAGGCAAUGCAAAAGCCCUAAGAAGAAGAAUGAAGAUAAUUCUGCUGAUGCUGUAACAGAAGAGGUACAGGAUGCAUUACUUCUUGCAGUAGACAGUCCACUUGAUGAUUGGGUUUUGGAUUCAGGAGCUUCGUUUCAUACCACUCCACACCGAGAAAUCAUACAGAAUUAUGUUGCAGGUGAUUUUGGUAAGGUAUAUUUGGCUGAUGGUUCAACCUUGGAUGUUGUGGGUCUGGGAGAUGUCCGGAUAUCGUUGCCCAAUGGGUCUGUUUGGUUACUGGAGAAGGUUCGACAUAUUCCUGACCUGAGGAGGAAUCUGAUUUCUGUUGGACAACUUGAUGAUGAAGGACAUGCAAUACUAUUUGUUGGUGGUACUUGGAAGGUUACAAAGGGAGCUAGGGUAUUGGCUCGUGGAAAGAAGACUGGCACUCUGUAUAUGACCUCAUGUCCAAGAGACACAAUUGCAGUUGCUGAUGCAAGUACUGAUACAAGCCUAUGGCACCGCAGACUUGGUCACAUGAGUGAGAAAGGGAUGAAGAUGUUGCUGUCAAAAGGAAAACUACCAGAAUUGAAGUCCAUUGAUUUUGACAUGUGUGAAAGUUGCAUCUUAGGAAAGCAAAAAAAAGGUGAGCUUCUUGAAAACUGGCAGGACACCGAAGGCUGAAAAAUUGGAACUAGUACACACUGAUUUGUGGGGGCCUUCUCCGGUUGCAUCCCUAGGAGGUUCAAGGUACUACAUCACCUUUAUUGAUGACUCAAGUAGAAAGGUAUGGGUUUAUUUUCUGAAAAAUAAAUCUGAUGUAUUUGUAACUUUUAAGAAGUGGAAGGCCAUGGUUGAGACAGAAACAGGUUUGAAAGUAAAAUGUUUGAGGUCAGAUAAUGGAGGAGAGUACAUAGAUGGAGGAUUCAGUGAGUACUGUGCUGCACAGGGAAUUAGGAUGGAGAAGACCAUUCCUAGGACACCACAGCAGAAUGGUGUGGCUGAGCGCAUGAACAGAACUCUCAAUGAGCGUGCUAGAAGUAUGAGGUUGCAUACUGGACUACCAAAAACUUUUUGGGCUGAUGCUGUUAGCACUGCUGCUUACCUGAUAAACCGAUGACCAUCAGUUCCCAUGGAGUUCAGACUUCCUGAGGAGGUUUGGAGCGGUAAAGAGGUGAAGUUUUCACAUUUAAAAGUUUUUGGUUGUGUUUCUUAUGUUCAUAUUGAUUCUGAUGCUCGUAGUAAACUUGAUGCAAAAUCAAAAAUAUGUUUUUUCAUCGGCUAUGGUGAUGAGAAAUUUGGCUAUAGGUUUUGGGAUGAACAAAACAGGAAAAUUAUCAGAAGUAGAAAUGUGAUAUUUAAUGAACAGGUUAUGUACAAGGACAGGUUAACUGUAACGUUAGAUGUUACAGAGAUAGAUCAAAAGAAAUCUGAGUUUGUCAACUUAGAUGAAUUGACUGAAAGUACUGUCCAAAAAAGGGGUGAAGAAGAUAAGGAGAAUGUAAAUUCAAAGGUAGAUUUGAGGACACCUGUAGUUGAAGUUCGCAGAUCUUCCAGGAACAUUAGACCUCCACAGCGUUAUUCACCUGUUUUAAAUUAUCUCCUGUUGACUGAUGGUGGUGAGCCAGAGUGUUAUAAUGAAGCCUUGCAAGAUGAGAAUUCAAGCAAGUGGGAGUUAGCCAUGAAGGAUGAGAUGGAUUCCCUGCUGGGGAAUCAGACAUGGGAACUGACUGAAUUGCCAGUAGGAAAGAAGGCUUUGCACAACAAGUGGGUAUACAGAAUAAAGAAUGAGUAUGAUGGUAGCAAACGUUACAAGGCCAGAUUAGUGGUUAAAGGGUUCCAACAGAAGGAGGGCAUUGACUACACAGAGAUAUUUUCUCCAGUUGUGAAGAUGUCAACAAUUAGACUUGUACUUGGAAUGGUGGCUGUAGAAAACUUACAUCUUGAGCAGUUAGAUGUGAAGACAGCAUUCCUUCAUGGUGACUUGGAGGAAGACCUUUACAUGAUUCAGCCAGAAGGGUUCAUUGUUCAGGGACAAGAGAAUCUAGUCUGCAAACUGAGAAAGAGCUUGUAUGGCCUUAAACAAGCUCCUAGACAGUGGUACAAGAAGUUUGACAAUUUUAUGCAUAGAAUUGGGUUCAAGAGAUGUGAAGCUGAUCAUUGUUGCUAUGUUAAGUCCUUUGACAAUUCUUACAUCAUAUUACUGUUGUAUGUGGAUGAUAUGCUUAUUGCAGGGUCUGACAUUGAGAAGAUUAAUAAUCUGAAGAAGCAAUUGUCCAAACAGUUUGCAAUGAAGGAUUUGGGAGCUGCAAAGCAAAUCCUUGGUAUGAGAAUCAUUAGAGACAAGGCUAAUGGUACAUUGAAACUUUCACAGUCAGAGUAUGUGAAGAAAGUUCUCAGCAGGUUCAACAUGAAUGAAGCUAAACCAGUGAGCACACCCUUGGGUAGUCAUUUCAAACUAAGCAAAGAACAGUCAUCGAAGACAGAAGAAGAAAGGGACCAUAUGAGCAAGGUGCCCUAUGCCUCAGCUAUUGGCAGCUUGAUGUAUGCUAUGGUGUGUACAAGGUCAGACAUUGCACAUGCAGUGGGAGUUGUGAGCAGAUUCAUGAGUAGGCCUGGAAAGCAGCAUUGGGAGGCAGUCAAGUGGAUUUUAAGAUAUCUGAAGGGUUCAUUAGAUACAUGUCUUUGCUUCACAAGUGCAAGUUUGAAACUGUAGGGUUAUGUAGAUGCUGAUUUUGCUGGUGAUAUUGAUAGUAGAAAGAGUACUACUGGGUUUGUUUUUACUCUAGGUGGUACAGCUAUAUCAUGGACUUCAAAUCUACAGAAGAUUGUUACUUUGUCUACUACAGAAGCUGAGUAUGUUGCAGCAACUGAAGCUGGAAAGGAGAUGAUUUGGCUACAUGGUUUCUUAGAUGAAUUGGGUAAGAAGCAGGAGAUGGGCAUUCUACACAGUGACAGUCAGAGUGCAAUUUUUCUUGCCAAAAAUUCGGCUUUUCAUUCAAAGUCGAAACAUAUACAAACAAAAUACCACUUUAUCCGUUAUCUUGUUGAGGAUAAACUGGUAAUACUUGAGAAGAUUUGUGGAUCUAAGAACCCUGCAGACAUGUUGACUAAGGGUGUCACUAUUGAGAGGUUGAAGCUGUGCGCAGCUUCAAUUGGUCUUCUAGCUUGAGGACAGGAGGAUGAGUUGUAGGGAUGAGGGAUCGUUUCUUGGAGGAUAGCGGUUUGAUGUUUGUGAUUGGACUAGUCUCCAAGUGGGAGAUUUGUUGGGCUUUGUGGAGCCUAGUUUUGUUUGAUCCGGUUUGGCGACCCGACCCGAAUAAUAUUGCAUGGCCUUUUUAAUGGGAGAUUUAUUGAGGCAUGUUGGGCCCGUUUAGCCCAUUGUGGAACCACCUUUUGUAAUUAGGGUUUUUUUUAGUAUGGUAGGGUUGCCGUGCUAUAUAUAUAUAGAGAAUAUUGUAGCCGCCUAGUUGUACUCUGUAUUCUUCCCUGAUAAUAGUGAUAUCCCUGCAACUCCAUGGACGUAGGCAAAUUGCCGAACCACGUAAAUACUGUCUUGUGCGUGUGAUUGUUUUUCUUUGGCGUGUGUUUUUUCUCUAAUUUUUGUUUCUCACGGGUUGGGAAUUCGGUUUAAUUCCCUACAGAAUGUGCGUAAAGAAGAGGUACCCGUUUGGUGCAAUUAUAAAAUAAAAUAAGAUCAGCAAACUUGGUGGCAAAUUUGAAGGAAGAACUAUCAAAAGCAAAAUAACGUUGAGGAGCAACACAGAGGGUGUUAACCACUUCCACGUUGACCAACCGAAAUGAUUGGAUCUCAUAAGAGAUAGUUUCAAUGAAGUAAUCACUUCUGGAUAUUCUAAAGAGAAGUUUAUUUUCUUCACAAAAAUUCCAAAGCUUGGGUAGCCACAGAAGUCUAUUUCAGUAUCAUAGAUAUAAAACGGGUAGCUUAUGUUUGGACCACUCCCACAGUUCUUAGGUUUGCAAGCUUCAUGAUUGUGGUCAACCGGUGCAUAUGACUCCGCUACAAAGGUGCUAAUGAGGAUACUGUUCCUCACAUAGAACAAGUAGUAUAGACACAUAUGGAUGGAGAUUGUUGGAGAACAAGGAACCUAGAGAAAAAGGAACUAUGAAGGCGUGCCACGUGAAGAGUAACCCAGAGUGACAUUUACAAGUCACCUUCAAUGAUUCAUAAAUCUCUCUCCAUUGGGUGUUUAAUUUGACUGGAUUUGCAAUGCUUCAUCUAGACUUCAAAUAUUCUACAGAAUCUACGGGCCUUAAACCCUCUCUUUUCAAAGAGGAUUUACAAUAUGUAUAAUAUUGCAAACUAAAUAUAUAAAACACGUGAUGUCUUCGUCCGGAAAAGCCCUUAGUUGGACUGCAGACAUUAGACUCUAUGUGACUUGUACUCUUCCCAAACAACAAACGAUAAUGACAAAAACUAUGGAAUUUAUAUAUAACUCGAAAUUUCUUGGGAGGAUUGAGGAGGAGAAGUGUCCAAUGCAAGUUGAAGUUUCCAUAACUUAUUGCAUGCCUUUGGAGUUGCAGAACACACUUUUGGUCAAGGUCUUCCCCUGCCUAGCUGGUUAUGAGAAAAGACACCUUCAUUUAGGUUAAUGGAUGGAUUUGGACUUUGGCCCUGGGAUGGAAAUAUCAUGAUUCUUGUAUUUAAUUUUUUAAAUUUAAUUAUUAACACUUAAAAUUAAGGAGGCCGUUUCUAGAUUUCAACAAAAUCCUCUUACUCAUAUUUUAUUCUGAUCAUUGUCCCGGACUCGUUACAUUCCAAAUCACAUUUUCUUUUUAAAUAUUACACUAUUGGAUAGAAUCAUCGCCCUGGUCCCUAUGGCCAUCAUUUCAUGUCACCUUGAGCAAGAUAAGCAUAUACUAGUACAAAUGCAGAAUAAUUUUCAAGAUUUUUGUUAGAAGUUUGGUAUUCAAUAACUGUGUUACUAAAUCACAUUCUUCAAAUUAUUUUAUUGGGACAAUCAUUAAUUCUGUUCAAAAUUUACUAAUUUCUAUUUUUUUUUCUUUUCUUAUGAGUAAGACAACUUAUAUUUGAUAGUGAGAUUAAGACAAUCUUUCAAUUAAUAGUUUCUAAUUAACAAAAUUCAACCGUAAACUCGAGUCCAUGAUAUCUCCCUAACAAUUUAAUAGUUUAGUAGAUAUAAUCUAUAAGACAAUCCUCAUUUAAUUCAAUUAUAAUGUUAAGACCAGUUGUGUUUCCUAGGUAGGGAAUCAUACGAUAAGAUUGCAUAUAAUACUUCCUUAUGCAUAGGAAUAUGUUUUAGCCUUGGAAUGCUUACCUUUAUUUUAGUGUGUAUAGGUUAUUAAAAUAUCCACAUGAGCUUCACAACUAAUAUAAAAUUUUGAGUCAUAAAUAUUAUCCCCUCUAAGCCCAAAAGGGUAUCUAGCUAUUUGAUCCAGUAAUCUUAUGAGACAAUGCAACAUUAUAUUUGUAGUGGGGAUGAUUAUAAUAUUUCACACUGAAUGAGAAAAAAAGUUUUUAAUUCUAUAUAGAUGAAUUUUAAAGUAGUGAUUAUAUUCUUUUUGUUGUUUCACUUCAUAUUAUUUAUAUAUUUAAAAAACAUAUGAACUUAAAUAUUUUGUGUUAUUUAAAAUUAUUUUUAAAAUUUUAGGUAAUAUAAAUUUCUUAAUACUUUAACUUGUAAGAUAAAUAUCACUAUAUUUUAUAUAAAAAUUAUUGUUAUUAUUAUUUUAAGUUAAAAAAAAAACAUAUCCAAACAUCAUCUAAAUUAUAAGAAAGGAUCUAAAAACUAAAGUUUUAAUUAUAUAACUAGAUGGAUGAUUCCGUAUUGUAAUCACAAUCACAAGACAGACCAAAACUAGCAAAAUCAAAACUGGGCAUAGCAAUGGCAGCUUCUUUAACUUGGUAUAUUCCCCUCAGACCUUAAAUCCAGUAGACAAUGAAUCUGAGAUUCAUCUCUGGUACAUGGACAACAAAACAAAGAUAGGAAGAUGAGAAAGAACAUUAACCCUUUAAUUCAUUUACAUCUGGUUACAUGUUUCACAUAUUGUUAGCAUCUCCAUCGGAAAAUAAGCAAAAUACAAGGGAAACGUUAAGCACUGGCGCUUGGUGUAGUAGACAUACUGGGCCAUCGAGCGAUCACAGUAUCUGGUGAUGGCAUCAGCGGGGCACUUUUCAACAACCCCACUUCAUCACAAUCUGGUGAAGGUGAUGGCGGCUUACGCAUGGAGGAUCCAACACUGUCCGCUGCUGUGUCCAUGUUCUCCAAUUCAUGCUUGUCACUCUCAAUUUCCUUCAAAAUCUCCAAGACUUCAUCCAUGGAAGGCCUCAUUUCCUUAUCAGGUUGCAGACAGCGAAAGGCCAAUUCUGCCACCAGAGUAGUCAUCCUAUUAACCGCAAGAUCUGAAUCAAAUCCAAGAUGCGGGUCCAUCAGCUCGUGAAAUGCGCAUUUUUGUAUCUUGUUUAUAGCGUAGUUAGACAAAUUGAUCUCAUGCCUGUGCCUACUAAUGUCUACAGCAGGCAGUGAUGAUAUGAGUUCAAUAAGGACAACCCCAAAGCUGUAAACAUCGCUCUUAUCUGUAAGCUGGUAACAUUGGUGAUAUUCUGGAUCAACAUAGCCGGGAGUCCCUUGUGGAGCGGUUGAGACAUGGGUAACAUCGGUGGGGAAGAGUCGUGAAAGCCCGAAAUCUGCGACUUUAACACAGAAACUAUUGUCUAGGAGAAUGUUGCUAGUUUUCACGUCCCGGUGUACAACAUCAGAAGCAUGGAGAUAACAUAAUGCGGUGGCAGUUUCUAUGGCAAUACUCAAUCGGAUAGGCCAUGUGAGUAAGCCUGAAUCUGCUCGAUCCCCGUGGAGAUGAUCAGCGACUGUGCCAUUGGGAAUAAAUUCGUAAACCAGAAGGAGUUCACGGCUGUGGCGUGAGGUGCAGCCGUAAAGGGAGACAAGAUUCCGGUGGCGUAAACGAGUGAGGAUUUGAACUUCAUUCAUGAACUGUUCAACCCGCCUGUAAUUGUUCUCGUAUAGGCGCUUGACAGCAACCUCUCGCCCAUCUCGCAGUUGUCCUAUUUGACAAAGAUCAAAGAAUAGCCUCUUUAAAAGGGAGACAAAUUUGUCGUUUAAGAGUUUUUUUUUUUUUUUUUUGGCUAAGCAUUUUCCUAGUGAUUAGGAAAAUUAUUAACAGAAUCACAGUUGUCCAUCACCUUACCAUGGUAUACACUUCCAAAGCCUCCAUCUCCAAUUUCUCUGUCAGGGUCAAAAUAAUUAGUGGCUUCUUCAAGUUCAGUGUAGGGGAAUAUGGCGAUGCCAAAAUACGCCCCCGCUGUUUCCAACCCUGGUUGUGAAGAGGGAUCUGAAGAAGUGUUCCUUGAGAGGAAAGUUGAAGCAUACUUCCCUUUACGGCGCUGCCGGAUGAUAAAGAAACAAAUUAUUAAGAAGGGAAUGCUUCCGACAAUACCUGUAGUGGGCAAAAAGACUAUAGUCAAACUUAAGGCCAACUACAUUAAUGCUAAGAGAGUUUUCCACUAAGAACAUAUGGAAACAAAUACAUAAAAGAAUUGGAUGUUAACAAGUUCAUGUUUAAAGAUCUUAGUGGAAAUUGAUUUUGUAUUGUAUAUCUGCAAAGAAGAUGGUGAGAAAUUGAAAUUUGAUCAUUACCAAAAUCCCCAAUUAAAGAGAAAAAUCUUUAUAUCUAUAUAAGAUAAUGUUGAAAACUAUCACAAAUUCCUAAUUAGUGUAGAUUUAUUUUUGUAAAAAAUAUUAUAUAAAAUAUUUCUGAUAUAUGGUUUUAAUAUUAGACUUUCUUAUAGAAUAAGGAAGGUUGUAAGAAAUAUUUUUAUAAAUAUUUUAAGUCAUAAAGAAAAGAAAAUGGGUCUGAGAAGAAUAUGUAUAAUGGAUAGAAAUAUGAGGGCGAAUGUGAGAUACAUUCUCUCAUCGGUAGAUACAGGUAUAGUUGGCCGAACCAUAUCAAAACCUAGCACUGUGUGUGUAAUUAUUUUAUUUUUGUGUUAUUAACGUAAUAAUGUUUGCGUGAAAGCUUUACGGGCACAACAAAUAAACUCAUUUCAAAUGCUAAAAAGUGCAAUAGAUCAUGGAUUAAUUGGAUUCGGUUGGUGUUCAGACACAUGCAGUGAACAAAUAUUUUUAUCCACGAGAAUCUUAGUAAAGAAGCAUAUUACCUAAUCCUAGGGCUAGCUUCAGUGUCUUGUCAUUUCCUGCAAGACAAGUAACAAAUAGCAACAAUAUUAGUUUAAAAAGUAAACAUUGUAUUAAUGUACAUCAUUUCGGUAUUCUCCAGAACAUUAAAGAGUACACUUUGAAAAGAAGAGUCAAAACCUGCUUCUGCAAAUCUAAUAUAGAUUACAUUGCACAAACAUCAAUUUUCUCAUACCAGAGCCCUACAGUUAGAAGAGAGGAAUUCACGCUACAUCCCUGGCAGCAGAUGAAUGCAAAAGAAAAAAACAAAACAAAACAAAAAAAACAAGAAUAAAGGAAACGCAAAAAAAAAGAAAAAAAAAAGAGGAGAGAUUGUUAUAUGUGUUGUGCACCCUUUACAUGUGCACACUUGAAUUUUCCCUUUUUAUCAUCUUGGCAUUGGCCUCCUCUAGGCGACAGUCCCUACAGUGUUUGGACACAUGCACUUUAAGAGUGAUAUCAGAGGUCAACAGGGGAAACAGGUUAGCUAUAUCUAAACUCAUGUUUACUGGAUACUGAAUAAUUGAACAGUGGGGUGGAGGUGGAGGAAUGGAAGUAUGAUUUAGAUGAUUAUAGUGGAUAAUGAAGUCAAGAAAACUGGUAUAGGGUGCGUACGGGUAUGAAGGAAAUGGAAGGAGAAAGGGAAGAAGUUAUGUUGUUGAUGAAGUCACAUCUGCGGUGUUUCAACUGCCCUUGAAGCUGCUGAUCUUGAAUUACUAUCGUACCAGCCUGAGAGAUGUUUUUCACCCCAAAAUAUCUUCCUCCCCUUUCCAGUUGGAUCCAUGGAAGCUCUUCAGUACAUCUUGUUACCGUGCACAAUCCGCAUUCUGGGUUUUUUUCAGUGUUGAAGGGAAAAUGAAGCCAGCCCAGUUUUUCACAGUCGAAGGGUGGACAAUUUGGAGAGUGUUUCCUUUCUUCUUCUUCAGGAGGGUGCUUCCUUUCUUCUUCAGUGGAAGGAGGGUGUUUCCUUUCUUCUUCAGCAAAAGAAAGAAGCACAGAAAGAGAGAGAAGAAAUAGAACACGAAAAUAAACAAAACCCAUGCGCAAUCCCCAAUUCAACUACAAAAGCAUUGGCACCAUACCAACAGCAGGUACGAAUUAUCUGACAUAAACAAGGUAAUCCUCCUCUCCCUUUAAACCACGUUUUCUCUCCUUUAUCUGCUUAGCACGGCAGUCGACUUAGAAAUGAGAUACUUUCUACGGGAUGGGCCAGGAGUCUUUUGUAGCCCAUGUGAAAUAGGCCAUCAUUUUCCAUUGGCCUACAAAUAGACACCCCAAUCCUCAAUGGGAGCUUCCAACUCACCUUCUACAUUGCUUAGAAAGACUUGACUUGCUGCAGCUCUUAAUGUUCAAAAUCAGGACAUCGAAACAGAGUGGCAAGAGGUCUUGGGAAAGAGACUUUCUAUGGGAUGGGCCAAGAGUCUUUUGUAGCCCAUGUGAAAUAGGCCAUCAUUUUCCAUUGGCCAACAAACAGACACCCCAAUCCACAAUGGGAGUUUCCAACUCACCUUCUACAUUGCUUAGAAAGACUUGACUUGCUGCAGCUCUUAAUGUUCAAAAUCAGGACAUAAAAACAGAGUGGUCUUGUGGAGCAAAAGUAGAAGACGGGGUAAAGGGAAAAGAGAAAACAUGAUAGGUCAUGGAUUAAUGGGUACUUAGGUAGCCCCUCAAUAUCAGGUAAGCCUUUCCCGCGGCAAGGAUAGGCGCAUGUGCGAGGAAGUCUAGUCUUGAUAUGCUUGGCACUCGGGCCAUGCCUUUUCCUUAGUUUCAGGGAUUCACACCUCCCUUUUCUGUGGAUCAAAAUAAAGCUCAAAGAUAGUGCACAGCUUCAACGACAGGUUGGUCCGCUUGCUUAUUACCCCAGAACAAGGAAAGGGUUCAAAUAAGCCAUAAGGCAUGAGAACUAAAACCAAACCAGCCUAGAAGGGAUGAAGAAACCUUCAUGUUCUCCUCAUUUUGUAGAGAGGAGUGCGUAAUUUGCAAAAAUUUAGUAAAAGAAUCAAACAGAUAAUAAAAGUAAGAAAAGGCAGUCAUCCUUUGCCUUUGCCUUACCGUCAUUGCAAUGUGUGGUAUGAGGUCGAUCAGGGCAAAAACAUACGGCUUCAUUAUUUUCAUCAAACCCACAACGACCACCACUUAGUUGGCACUCAACGCAGUUAAUACCAGUCCAUUGAAGGCUAAAUCCAUUCUUCAGUAACUCCAUGCAGUCCAUAGUCUCCACUGUUUGACUAUACUGCCUUUCCUCCAAAUCCACUGGUGCGCCCACUUACCUCUCACAGGCCAUCUCUUCAGCCAUUUUAGUACAGUUCCAAUCCUCAAACCCAGUGUUCAAAACGGCAACAAAAUAAUUUGUGGCAAUGGAAGCACAAGUGACUGGAGAAUGUGCUUAACCAAGAGGUACCCAUUUUUUGCAAUUAUAAAAUAAAAUAAGAUCAGCAAACUUGGUGGUAAAUUUGAAGAAGAACUAUCAAAAGCAAAAUAAUGUUGAGGAGCAACACAGAGGGUGUUAACCACUUCCACGUUGACCAACCGAAAUGAUUGGAUCUCAUGAGAGAUAGUUUCAAUGAAGUAAUCAUUUCUGGAUGUUGUAAAAAGAGGCUUGUUUUCUUCACAAAGAAUUCCAAAGCCUGGGUAACCACAGAAGUCUGUUUCGUUGUCAUAGAUAUAAAACGGGUAGCUUAAGUUUGGGCCACUCCCACAGUUCUUAGGCUUGCAAGCUUCAUACUUCGGGUCAACCGGUGCAUAUGACUCCGCUACAAAGGUGCAAAUGAGAUACUGAUCCCAACAUAGAACAAGUAGUGUAGACCCAUUUGGGUGGACAUUGUUGAAGAACAAGGAGCCGGGAGAAAAAGGGACUAUAAAGGUGUGAAGAGUAACCCAGAAUGACAUUUGCAAAUCACCUUCAAUGAUUCAAAAAGCUCUCUCCAUUGGGUGUUUAAUUUGACUGGAUUUACAAUGUUUCAUCUAGAAUUCAACUAUUGUACAAUAUCUUUCGGCCAUAAACCCUCUCUUUCCAAAAAGGAUUUUUAAUAUGUAUAAUAUUGCAAACCACAUAUACAAAACACAUGAUGUGUUCAUCCGGAAAAGCCCUUUGGUUAGUUGGACCGGAGACAUUAGACUCUAUGUAACUUGCACUCAUCCGAAACAACAAACAAUAACGACAAAAACCAUGGAAUUUAUAUAUAACUUGAAAUUUUCUUGGGAGGACUGAGGAGGAGAAUGGUCCCAGUAGAAGUUUCAAUAUCUCAUAGCCUUGGAGCUGCAGAACUGACUUUUGGUCAAGGUCUUCCAAACCUAGCCGGUUAUGAGAAAAGACACUUCCUUUUAGCUUUAAUGGGUGGAUUUGGACUUUGGCCCUGGGAUGGAGAUAUCAUGAUUCUUUUGUUUUAUUUUUUUAAUUCAAUUAUUAACACUUCAAAUUAGGGUGUUUCUAUAUUUCAACUAAAUGCUUUUACUCCUAUUUUAUUCCGAGUCCCAAAGUCUUUAGACUCUUUACUUUCUAAAUCACAUUUUAUUUUUAAAUAUUACAGUAACGAAUAGAAUCAUUUCCCCUGGGCUCCUCUAGUCAUCAUCUCAUGUCACCUUAAGCAUAAUAAACAUAUAUAACACAAAUGCAAAAUAAUUUUUGAUAUUUUUGUUAGAGGUUUGACAUUCAAUAAUCGGCUUAUUAUUAAGGCCUUAAUAAAAUACAUACAACUCUCCUAAAAUAAUUUUCUCAAGCAAUGGUAGGCAACAUGCGAUGGUCAAAGGAUCCCACAUAUAUGUUACUAAAUCACAUCCUUCAAAUUAUUGUGCUUGUACAAUCAUUAAUUUCUAUUCAAAAUUUGCAAAUUUCUAUGAGCAAGACAAUGCAUAUUUUAUAAUGAAUUUAAGACACUUAAUUUGAUUAACAAUGUUAAAUCAACAAAGUUAACCAUAAACUCCAAUCCAUAAUAUCUUCCCAGCAAAUAAAUAGUUCUUUAGAUAUAAUCAAUAAGACAAUCGUCAUUUGAUUCAAUGAUAACAUUAAUACCAGUUGUGUUUCUUAGCAAGAGAAUCAUAUGAUAUAAUUGCAUAUAAUACUUCUUUAUGCAGUCAUUGGUAAACCAAUGGUAUAUGUUUUAGUCCUAGAAUGCUCAGCUUUAUUUUAGUGUGCAUACGUUAUUAAAAUAUCCGGUACAUGAGCUUGACAACUAAUAUAAAAUUUGAAUCAUAGUUUUAGUCAUUAAAUUGACCAUAAGGUUUAAGGUAACUAUUUCCAAUGUUGCACUAGUUAUAAGCUAUUUUUAAAUCUCUAUUCUCUACGUCUUAUAAAAUUUUAAAAUUGGGGUGUUUGUUUUAACAAUACUAAUUAUUCAUACUCAAUACUUCACAACUCCCCGGUGGAGAUAGGCUGAGGGCAAGGAUAAGGAUAAGAACAAAAAGAAAAAGUUCAUGCCCAUAGAUAAAUCUUUCCUAUAACAUGAUCCACAUUAGGUGUGAGACUGUUCCCAAAAAUAGCCCUCGGCACAUUGAUAUAGAAAAAGGGCAAUAGGAGACAUGUGUUGAAUCUCCUUAACUGCUAAACUCUCUCAAGGUGGAAGUUGUGUUCAAGACACUUGAGAAUAGAUGCCUAAUAUUUAUGGAGGUAGCAUUAACAGGUGCUCCAUAUGUCUGGUGAUAAAUACUAGUGCCACCAUUUUCAAGGAAGACUAAAGUGAUUCUAAUAAUGACAGACACUAAGAUUAACACAGCAUUCAUCUUUGACAUGAAAAUAAGGAGGGGUAUUGAGUAGGGAGUGACAUCUAGCUGCACCAAAGGGUGAGAGACCUAAUUGCACUUCCAGUGAAACCAAGUUGAUCACAGGAAUGAGUUGAUUGGAAUAGAAAUACUUAGGGAACUCCAAAAAAGCGCCUAGAAGGGAAGCGGCGUGCUGCAAGCUAAGGCAGGAGACCUAGCAACACAACAUAUGUGUCACUCCAUGAUAAAGAGUAGAGCCAACCAAUCAACCGAAAAGAACUUCUGGAGAGUAGAGCUUGUUGGGAGCCGACUGACAGUUUGUGGCAAUUAAUGGAUUGGGUAGGGAAAAUUAACGAUUUUCCUUUUCUAGAUUUUUCCAAGUAGUUGCGUGUGUUCCAAAACUUUGGAAAUCUUUUGGCUUGAGACCCUUGGAAUCUUGCGUUAUAUUAGUACUCUAGAAUGUCGUGAAGAAAUAUUAAAAUGAUCCAAGUUACAUACCCCACCUAAGAAACGUAGGAAUCUGGGAACUUUUGAAAUACUUACUAUAAAUAAGAGACGCUUUUUGUUUAAUCUCUUAGGAAGUAGCUUAUACAGUAAAGUUCCCAGUAUUAUUACAUCAUCCUGUGUAUCAUUUGGUCCAUAGACUCCAUACAUCAAAUAGAACUUCUCCGGAUAAGCCCAUUAAUGAAACGGUCAAUGGAAGGUAGAGCCUAAGAAUUUGUAAUACGAAGAAAACAAUCCCCCAAGCCAUGAAUUUAGAAUUCCGCCAAAUUAUAGACUAGAAUAGACCACACCAAAUUCAUGGGCAAGAAUCUGGAGGCUCAAGGAGAAUGCAGCUAAUGGUAUACCGAAUACGUCCAAAGGGGCUGGCAGCCUGGCACCAGGCACCGCCCCAAUCCUCGAAAAACAUUGCGCCACGUGGGAAAUAGCAUUAACCCGCACUGAAACGUGUAAUUUGUUCUAACCUCACAUCACUGACGAACUAACAUUAUUGAUAUGAUAAAUAGCCAUAUGUCAUAAGCGAUGGCAACUCAUUUGAUUUUUAAGAAAAUAAAACUACUCCACAGGUUUGACCAGUCAUCUUUUAACCUUGACCUUUUAUUUUCUAUUUUGGCCCCACUCGCUUAUGAAAGUUACCAUUUCGCACUUUGCUUCUCCUUUCCUAGCUAGCGACGGUAAUUAACCAUAAAUGUGGAAUUGACGUUGGUAGAGGUGUGAAUGAGGAUGGGGACGGGGAUGGGGAUGGGGAUAGGGAUAAGGACGAUGAAACGACAUGUUGCAAUCAUUUUUCCGUCAAUUUAUAGAGAGAAAAUAGAGAGAGGGGAACUUACUGGAUACGCAAUGCUUAGCGUGAGGACGGUCGGGGCAGAAACACUUGAAAUGGUAAUCACUGAUAUUAAACCCACACUUGCCACCACUCUCCUCGCACACGCUACAGUCGCUUGCUCUCCAUUUCAGCAUGAACCCUCUUCUCACCAAUUCCUCCCCAAUUUCAUUACUCCCAUCAUCUGCCUUCUCUUCAAAAGGCGCUUUUACCUCUCUUCCGCACUUCUCGGACGCCAGAACCCAGUUUGAAUCUCCCUUAGACAUUGCCAGAACCGGACUUGCUCCAUCAUCGCCAGAACAAUUAAUCUUGUAGCGUACUAGAUUAUCAGGCAAUGGAGCUGAACAAUUGGAUAGAAAGAAGAAGAAGUCGGUGCCAUCAGGAUGAGCGAGCUCAAAUUCUUCAUUGGGAAGGAGUAGGUCGCGACCCAAAGGAAGGCAGCCAUUUCCUAAGGCGUUUGAGACUCGAAGAGUCUGGUUUUGGUAGAAAAUUUGGUGGAUGAUGUAAGGGUUCUCGGAUAUGGUGAGAAUUGUAGUGUUAUGGAGGCAGGAAACGUUGAACCCAAGGUAGCCACAGAUAGGGUCUUGCAGGCCUUCAAUAUAAAAAGGGAAGCUUAUAUUUAAACCACCGCAGGUUCUGCUUAGGCUGCAGGUCUCGAAGUAUGGAUCCACGCAUAGUGAUUUUUCCAGUAGGAAGAAGAAAAUGAAGAUGGCGAGGUGCAUCAGCAGCGAUAAGGGUAUUCUGGUGUGGAUCAUUUUUGGGGAUCUUGAGGGUGAGGUUGAAUACAGAUAAUGAAAGAAGAC
RNAcentral lists this long non-coding RNA (85965 nucleotides) under Vitis vinifera (wine grape). RNAcentral's name for it is "long non-coding RNA (VVIN_LNC000059)". Lineage: Eukaryota; Viridiplantae; Streptophyta; Magnoliopsida; Vitales; Vitaceae. The record is from RNAcentral.